RNAcentral lists this long non-coding RNA (64121 nucleotides) under Triticum aestivum (bread wheat). RNAcentral's name for it is "long non-coding RNA (TAES_LNC022771)". The record is from RNAcentral. Lineage: Eukaryota; Viridiplantae; Streptophyta; Magnoliopsida; Poales; Poaceae.
UCUUACUUCCUCCAAUUCUUGGGUUGGUUGCAUAAUGCGUGCCGCUAAUUCCGUAAUUUCCAGCCUCAAGAUGAAGAUUACCUCAUUCAUGGCAGCCACACCAUCUCUUUCUGCCUCUAGUAGAGCCUCAAGCACUAUAAUAUCUAUGCUCAGACUGCUCUCCAGCGGUGUUGCCUCUGAACUGCUACCAUCUGGUAACAUGGAUGGCGCACUGCUUCCACAAAUAGAUUCUGGGGUUGUACAUUGUGUCCUAGUGUGAACGGCAUCCUAAAAGGUUUCCGCUGGACAUAAGUAAGAGAUAGUUAUCGUAUGAUCCAGGCAGUAAGCUUACAUGGUAAACGACGGACGAAAUAUUGCCGAGCAUGGCAAACUAUAUUUGAAUGGUUCGAAGCAGCAUCAGCCGAAAAGAAAUUAAAAUGGUAAGAUGAAACUAGGGAUGUAAGUGGCAAAUAAAUGACAUCCGCUAGUCCCAUCUAGUUAGUUUUUGCUACCUCCCUAGUUCAUUUUCCUCAAAAAACAAAAACUCUUCUGAACUAUCAUACCACUAGUGGACUUUAAUCGGGAUUAAACGGGACCCAGUUGACAUCCCUAGUUGAAAGGGAGUGUACAACCGCUAUAUUUAAGUUGCCAAGGAAUCUAAGCAGUUGAAAUAAUCUGAGAAAGCACUUAACAGUGUGGCCUCAUAUAAACUACGAAGACAGUCUUGUGAUGAAGUUGAGAGGAAAAUUUAAGGACUCAAAUGAAAUAGGCAUGCAUUUCUUUACGAUAGUACAACAGGCACUGCUGACAUAUUGGCCAACUCAGGUAUAGCGUAACAACAAACAAGCAUUUGAAUCAAGCAAUACAGCAAAGCAGACAACUGAACUAUUUGUAAUUCGGUAGGAUUACACGUUGAGGGCACAAGCCAAGAAAGCAGCCCACUCGCAUUACAUUUCACAUGUACUAAAACACAUUGGCUUACCAUAUGUUGCUGUGAAGCCUAGCUGCUGUUGCAAUGUUCUUUGAAAAUAUCGUCAGCAUCCCGUGGUUGCAGAUCUAGUUGUUGUAGUUUAUUCUGCACCAUCUAUUUAGGUAAAAUUAAUUUUAAUCGCAUGCACUGGUCCGAAUUGAUCAUCAAUGGUUCAUCAAAACUAAUGAAAGAAGGGUGUGUGCAUACACGACAAUAUAUCUGCUUCCCUCUGUUUUUAUGCUUGUUCGAGGUGCCGGCCCCAAAAGAACAAAUAUUUUGCUUGAUGGGGUUGGCAGCUCCAUAAUUAAUAGAAGCAUCAAAUUAGUCAUGCAACUUGGGAAGAUCAAGAACACACAAACAAGUAAUGAACACAGGCUCGGAGCAGUGAUGUAAUAGCUAGCAUCAGAAAAUGUAGGGUAAAACGAACAAAAAGUAGCGGAACCACAUGCUAGUUUGCUGAUGUGUAAUUAAGCAUAGAGAACAUUAACCAGUCUGAUGGAACCAACAGGUGGCAUCAGAACAAAACUAAAGCAUAUUAACUAUACUAGUAUGUAUGCACGUGCAAUGCACGUCUUAAAAGAAUGGAGUGAUUUUGGAGUGUGACUUGAAAAAAGUAUAAUGGAGUGAUUUUGAUAAAUGGAAUUCCACCCACAAUUGUUUUUAAUAUUCACACAAAAAACUGUACAUUCACAUCUAAAAUACUGGAGGUUCAUUAAAAAAUUGUAUGUUACUCUUUUAUUUUUUCUUCCCAUUCUCCUCCCAAACCUUCUUAUCUGGGCUCAUGUCGUCAUGCGCUCAAGCAGUAAUAUAGCCCAUGAGGCAUCGCAUAUGGGCCUUUUUUUUCCUGGAAGGGCCACGUGAAUAUUCUAGAACACAGCAGAGGCAACAACAUUCUAUUGUUCAUGGCGAAUCCGGCUAAUCUUAGCCCUUGGAUUUUGGAGACCAACGGUUAUGAUUGAUGCUCUGGAUCCAUCUCAAAACUGGUACACUAUAUAGUAGUACAGAUAUAGAUAUAGAUGUGCAUUGGUACGUAAUUUAGCACAUGUAACAUGUUCACUGCCAGAAGUAUGGCCCUACAGGUGCAAGCAGAAUAACGCGUCUCAUGAAAAACUGAAUGAUGCCCUGAAGAAAUUCAAAGGUGCGGUGCUUAUGCUAGGAAAGUGAAUGUAGGCGCCGGCCGUUGGAUGAUAGUACCUGAUUCUCAGUGGCGUAUGGGUAUCGUUGUCAUACUUGAUAGCUAAGGAUCAUCGACGUGGCUCGUGUUGCGGUUGAGUUUGGGUCGGCUGUCGCCGUCGCUGAAGCGGCUCCAGUGCUACGGUUGCGGCGCCUGUCGACAUACAAGAAAGCUCAUCUGUGGUAAGUGAACAGUUGCACGAUAAAGAGAAAAACUGAAGGAGUACAAAUCGAAAUAACCUGAUGAGGCUGCGGCUUUGGUAAAGGAGGGCCGGUGGAGUUGAAUAUGGCGUCCAUGGAGCGGGUCCAGUGCAGUGGACGGAGGCUUCGGCGGGCGCGUUGUACAGUGCUUUCGGUGAGGCGGAUCUGUUGCCGAGGACAAGGGCUUGUAUGAAGGGCCAGCAAAGGGGCGGACGAGGGAGUCAGUGAAGGGCCUACACUGUGGUGGACGAGGGCGCCGGUUAAGCAGAUCCGGUGUGGUGGACCAUGAUGGCGGUCAAGGAGAUCUAGAGCGGUGGACAAGCCUGUCGCUGAAGCGGCUCCGGUGAAGUGGUGAUUUGGCAGUUGGGGGUUCCAAGGUGCGGAAGGUAGAUCCGGCGGGGUGUGAGGUCCACCGCUGCGGCGGAGGACUAGAUUCGGCAGCUUGCCGUGGUUGGGGGUCGGGGAGGGGAAGGGGAGGGGCUCUGGGGAAGAAUGUUGGGGGCAAAGAGGGGAAAACAAUGGAGUAACCAAAGCAGCCCUUUUCCGUUCAUGUGGCAAGGGUAAAACAGGAAUAUCGCAGGGCUAAACUUUCGGGCGCGUGAUAUUUCGAUGUGAGCGGGAAGUUUGAAAGCUUUUGGCACCUAAAAUGAUAAGUAUUCUGCUCUCGUACGGCCGACUAUGAUAUCAUGGCCGACAAUUUGUUUGUUUUGCACGCAAAAAAAGUGCAAGUUUUGAAAAUCAAUGUCUCCAACUCGAAACUUAGAUUGUCCAUUCAAUUCAAAUAUGGAUCAUUGAGCUACUACAAGCAAAUACCAUCAUACGGUCCAAUUCAAAUGAAAUUACAAAUGUGUUUAUCCUAAAUAUGAUGACAAAAGCAAAAAAUGUGUAUGUGUAUGAAUAAAGUGAACGAUUAUAAAGUUUGAACAUGCCCGUAUGUGUAUAUCUCUAGGUUUGAUAUAUGAAUUUGAAAUCACGAAAUUCCGGCUUAAAAAAUGUACCUCCAUUUAAAUGAAUUACAAAAGCUAAUGAUGAAGUCAAAUUCCAAAAUUCCAAUCUUAGGUUUGUAAUUCUGGUACAUCAAGGUAUAUCAUGCAUGUUCAAAAGUAUCGUUAUCUCAUAGUACAAACUGUGAAACAAAUUGAUCAACCAUGAGUGCACAAUAUCUCAAUUACGCUAAAGUCCCUCCAAUAUAGACACCUCACUCUUUAUCUGAAGUCACCCCCCCCCACCCCCCCCACACACACACAUAGAGAAGUCGUUAUCUCCCCCAGACACCAACACACGAGCACAUUAACACCCCUCUCUCUUGUAAAGUCCGGACCCCAACAUACGUCUCUAUCACUUUGUCUCCCGGGCAUGCACACAUCUCUUCCCUCACUCUCUAGGUCUCCCGCUAUCUCUCUUACCCAAGCACAUGCACUAUGUAGAGUGUAUAUUUCCCAUACACACAAAACGUCGCCCCAAAACAUCUAUCUCCCUAAUUAUUUGGUUCUCGCGCACUCACCUCACACACCAGCCCCACUGCAAACAAGCACACUUUGUCUCCUUGUGCACCACUCUCCUCUUUCUAUCUCUCCCACAUGCAGACCCGCCCCAGCUCCUUCCCUGUAUACAUAUAUGUCGUGACUCUUUGCAUAGCUCCCUAAUGUAUAAUCGUUCUCGAUUUCGCACAUUGUUCUCUACACCAUCUAUUCUAGAUCUCUCAUGAAGUCCCUAUCACACACACGAUGACUCGUUUCCCCUGCGUCUCCGUUCAUAGGCCAAUUUCGGACAACAUCAACAUUGUCUCCUUAUCUAUACGCCAUUUAUGGACACAAACGACCCCUCUUGCCCCCUCUCUUCCUCUCUCUCUCUCUCUCUCUCUCUCUCUCUCGUUGCUAGCUCUCUCUUUCUCUCGCUCUCACACCCCUCUCCCACACACACACUCGAUGUCUCUUCCAAAUAGUCUGCUCCCCUUGCCCGCACCCAUGCUAUCUCACUACUACAAAUGUCACACCAUUCCCCCUUCCCUUAUACUAGGUUUACAUCAUCAGUGGUCUCUCUACUCCACAUACACUCUCUCCUUGUCACACACAAACGCGUGCACAAACACACACAAACACGCACAAACACCCAUUUAUCUGGAUCCUCAUCUCUCCCCAUGUCUGCAUGUGUAUCUCACACACUCACUCUCUAAUUAUGUAUAUGUGUCUCCAUGUUACACAACACAAAGCCCGAUGUACAUGUCUCUCUCUAUCCUCCACACACAUAGACACAAAGAAUCUGUUAUCAUUGCCUCAGUCUCUAACAUAUCGCACACGCACACUGUCUCUCUUUCUCUCUCUCUCUCGCAAACACGCUCAACAAGGGUUUCCCCGUGAAUAACUUACCGUCUACUCAUCAACAGUCGUGGCAGUAUGGCAAACACGAGACGUGAAAAAGAAUAAAUCUACACGUGCUUAGACCACCUAGUAGGACUAGAGCAAGCCAAAAAGCGCGCCGCCGUCACCCCCUCCUUGUCGACGACGGGAAAAUCUUUGUUUUACACAGUCGAGAAGUCAUUGUGCUAAGGCCCCACAUGCCGAGGCGUUGAAUAGAAUGUAGAUGCUAGUUUACGGAAGCAAGUAUCGAUAAUACGUUUGUAUCUCCAUACUUAUAUUUCUUCUUUUAUAAAAAACCGAGUUGGUGAUGAUGGUACGUGUGCCAUCUUGCAAUAUAGACCGUCUGAUCUAUAUCUGACGGAUGGAAAUUAAACUAAAAGAUACCCGCACCCCUCUCCACAUUUGCAGACAAGGCCUUCCCUCGUUCAUCCUUAUCUCCAACAAACCUCAUUGUUGAGCAAUUAAGAAAGGAAGCCUUUGGAACAAACUGGCCUAGUGGCCGCUGCCGGCGUCGUCAAUCCCCAUGCCUCCGCUCAGUCCGACCACCAACCACCACCACACCCAACUCCUCUUCACCUUAUCUCAUAUUUCUCGAGAUAUCAUUAGUUUUUAGACAUGGGAUUACUCCCGCAAGGGUCAAUCACAACAAGUGUUUUUAUAAAAAAAUGCAUCUUGAUGUUCCGUUAAUGCACGGAUCUUGCUAGUACUCUUACACAAGACUAAGUUGGUGAUGCUGGUGUGUCUGCCAUCCGUCGUUUCUGACCAUUAGAUCUACAUCUAACAAUUGUGAGGUAAGUUGUUGCCUUUUCUCACCAACAUCCCACUUGUCUACCAAUUUACAGAAAAACCCAUAAUUAGUAUCUUAAAACCAACCACAUCCCUCCCUGACCUCACCAAAACAGCCCAAGGAAUAUAUUAUAAUUGAAACAUAAUAUACAUAUGUAUAUCAAAAUUAGGGUGUUUUGUACCAAGUUUGUGAAUAAGUAUUAUUCUAAUUAUGAUUCGUUGCAACGGACAUGAACAUUGCUAGUAUUUCCAACCAUGUAUUUUUUUCUAGUAUUCCAUAGUUUUGAGUUUUCCAUCAAGAUAUUAGUCACUCAUGGUCGAUAUUUACUUUCAAUCAUGUACACAUAUGCACUAUGUAACUAGACUUGCUUAUUGGCUUCCAAAGCUUAACUUUCACUCCUACUUACAAUAUGUAGAGUAUUUAACAAAAAACUACCACUUUCAACCAGCCCUAGGAAGAAUCUAUUGUACAAAAAAUAGCAAAAACAUACCCAAAAUUUCUUAAUCCAUGCCAAAAACUUCUAUACUACCUAGUACUCCUACCGAUUAGGUUCGUUUAAACCCAUUUAUGACUGGGUUGGCCCACACGUCCGCGCUGACAAGGCAGCUUAAACCAACACAUUUUGUUUGACCGUUGACACGAGGGACCCAUAUCUGACCUUCUAUCCUAUUAUUCCCCCUCAAAUCAUUAUUUUUCCUGAACAUUACUUCAAACGGUACUGAUGCGUGUUCGUCGGUGGCGCCGGUGAUGAGCGAGUUGGCCGCUGCUCCGCCGGACAGGCCGGAUGCCACGCUGGCCUCCGCACGGGUUGGCAGGCUGGCCCAAGCGUGACUCACGAGCGAGCAAGCCGCCGCGCUGGCCUUCGCUCGAGCCAGAUGGCUGGCCUGAGCGCGGCGUGCGCGAGAAAGCCGCCGCGCUGCCGUGCUAAUCUAGCUAGCAAACCUUGCAGACAAGCAGCUGGACGGAGCUAUCUUGGCUAGCUAGCGGCCGCGAGCGCCGGACGGAGCUGGCAUCCAGGCUGCCGCAACAUGGGCUCCGCACCGCCGGCGGUUUUGACCUCACCUUCUGCCGGCGGCGGUAGCUACGUCCCAUGGCCGAGGAUGGCUAGGUGGAUGGGUCGGAGGUAGGAGGUCACUCGAGGAUUUUGGUUGGUAAGAGCAUGUACAAUGGUUGAUAAGGUAGUCUUAUCUUAAGUCUGCCACGUAUGCAAGUGGUAGUAGUUUCUUGGCAUUUUAGUGGUUUCUUGCGUUAUUAGGGGUUUCUUGUAAGGAACAAUGUACGUACUACUAGCGACAAAAGGCGAUUCUAGGUUGCGUUGUACUCCAACGAGUACUACUAGUGGUCGCGAGAGUGUAUACCUCAUUUUGUGGGUUCGAUCCCGGCCGAACGCACGGCGGCCUUUUUAAAAAAAAUAGUACUAGUACUACACUUCACUGCGAGCCAAUAUUUUACACGGGUAGUUUGAGUUUUGAAGUCAAACGGACGUGUGGCCCCACAAUCUGGGUGCACUGGACAGCCUAGCCACGUGAACUGGUUUUCCUUCCCAGCAUCCCGUGGCUCGCGUGCUCGCCCUAGCCGCACCUCGCUUGCAGCUUCCUCAUCAGCUAAUAGUAGCAUAUUUAAACUAGCGCCUCCCAAUUAAGCCCGAGGAGCCGGAAAAGCCUGGUGGGGCAUUGGGAACUGUGCAAUAUGGCUCUGUACUCUAUGUAAAGUGUUGUACUACUAGUACUCUAUAGCUUGUGGCGUUGCACGCAUGGACUUCACUCCAUUAUCGGCUCUACUAUAAAAGAACGGCACCGAGUUCGACCCCUGUGAUGCUACGUGGGUGCCGAGGAACACUCUUGGAGAGUACUCGCUUUUCAUUGGGGACAGCUACCCCAUUGUGAAGUGGAUGCCACCUUCCGUGCACGACACGGAAGGCCUGCUGUUCAUGAAGCAUGGUUGUGUCUUCAUUGUGCACCGCCAGAUGAACAACAUGCUAGGACAUGCUAUCCCUGAUUUAUGCCGCUUCAGCUUGGAUGAGUCUCCAUCAUGUGGAACCUGACUAGAAAGCUGCGACAAUGAUUCCCGUUGCCCACCACAAUGGACCGUGCCAUCCAUGAAGAACACCUGGGACUGGAACCUGGAGGAGGACAUGCAUGUAGCCCAUCUAUAACGUGUAAGUGGAGUACGGUAAUUGUGAACGGUAGCGCUGUGAAUAUAUGAAUACUAGUCGUGCACAAAUUUAUCACAUGAAUUGGAGAUGAACUUGUGUGGCAUACUCGCAUUUGUCCUUUAGAAUUUAUUACUAGUAAAUGUGUUAUGUGUACAUGCAACUUGUGUGGUUGUUGCAUGGGCUCCAACACGCUCUUUGAGAAAAAAAGGUGGCACAGCUCUGGAUAUACGUGACGUGGCGGCAUCAUACAAUAGCAUCAUUCGCUAUAGUGGAUGACAACUCCUAUAAAACCUUGCGCUUGGCUCUUUGCCUCUUCGGGAGGUUCAACAGUUCGUACUCGUGUGAACCUUGCACUUGCCUCUUCACCUCUUCGGAAGGUCCAACAAUGAUGAUACUACAGUACAAUAUGCGUCUGGCAAUCUGACACUGAUUGAACUGCUGCACGUCCACCGCGAGGGCAAGGGCGAGGGAGAGGAAGAGGGAGAGGGCGCUGUAGUCAAAACCCUCUCCUCGUCCUGCGAAGCACCGAGCGUGUGGGCGAGGGAGAGGCAUAGUAAGCAAGCUUCUCCUCGUUCGGCGAGUUGACGGGACACAUCAAAGCAGUACUAGUACUAGUAGUAGUCCAUACUGCGUCCUUUCCGAUUAAUAUGGCUUAAUUUGAAACGAGAAAAAUACACUGGCGGUCAACGUAUGUAACAAUACGCUCUUUACGGUCACUAUAUAUAGUUUUGCGUCGAUUAUACGAUCACUAGCUCAUCGUAGAGCACUGUAUUGCACCCUGCUGACCAGCCACAUAGUCGACGUGGCACUUUGUUGACUGGUUAAAUUGUCACCUGGUUUCUGGGUCCCACCUGUCAGUUGACGGAGCAAAGAAAUCAGUUAAACAAAACUUUACGCAGGCGCCACACGAGUCCAACCCUUGCGCCCGAACCGCCCUGGCUGUGUAUGUGAGUGCAUGCACGUGUCCUCCCUCGGCCUUCCAACAAAGAGUGUACAUCGGCUAUAAAACAAAGAGUGUAGUAGUGCAUGAUGUACAUCUACACUUCCAAUGCAUUUAGCCUUUAAUCUAAAUCGAUAUUGAUUGACUAAUGCACCAACUUGUGCUGUAGGUAUAGGCUACAUGUCUAUCCUUAAUUACAGCAUGCAACGGCCUUCAUUUAAUCUUCUUAUCUCAAUGGUCGCAUGCACACAUAAGUCUGCUACUUUUGGGCGUUAAUUAUACCCUGGUCAAUGUGUAAAUCUCUAAAUGUACAGUCUUUCACGGACGUAGGGAGUAGGUUGAGCACUUGAGCGUGAGCGUGUGUGUUGCGUCGUGUGUUGUGUGCCACAUGGGUGCGUGAGUGUUGCGUGCGUCCAUGUGGAGUACGUGUGAGUGUUGCAUGUUGCAUGCAUGCAUGCAUGCAUGAGGCUUACUCCCUCCCAUUGACAUGUUCAUAUUUCAAACUUCCUCCGUUCCCUCCAUAUGGUGAUACUCCCUCUGUUCCCAAAUACUCCAGUACGGAGUAAAAGCCUCCCUCUGUUCCCAAAUACGGAGUAUUUGUCUUUCUACAGAUUUCAGCAAGUGACUAGGUACGGAGCAAAAUGAGUGAAGUGAGCGUAGAGGCAUAGGGAUACUGUAGAAAGGUAAUCCUCGCGAUCCAUCAUUCCCCAUCUCGGUCAGAGAGAACUAUUCAACUAGUCUUCACACUGAAGUGACAAUACACGCUGCAGCAGAUGGGACACGUAAUUAAUAAGCUGAACCAGCGUGUUGGUGUUACUAAAUCAGCCUUACCCAGUACUGCCAUCAUGUUUGCCAGUAGAGCACGCUUCCGCAAAUAUGCCUACGCACUUGUGUCCUCCAUUAAUUGGCAUAUGGGCCCUCUUGUGGUAGACCCACAUGUCAUCGGUGUAACUAUUUACACUCCGGAGGACGGUGCCUAUAUCCUGGUAGUAGUACUAGUAGAAUUGAGAUUUAAUGCACUUUCUUCCCCGUCUUCCACUCUUCUUCCUCCUCUCUUCUUCUUCCUCCUCUCUUCUUCUUCCUCCUCUCUUCCCCAUCAUCGGCCGCACACCAUUUACCCCCGCUCACUGCUCGCCCGCCCGUGCCAUCUUCCUUGGUAGCUUGCGCAUACCAUAUCCCCCCGCUCACUGCUCGGCCACACAAGGAGAAGCUUCUUCGCUCGCCCGCCCGAAUCCACUUCCCUGCUGGCUCGCAGGCACCGAAAACCCUAAUGGCAGAACCGACUAACACGCAGAGCCGCGAUUGGAUUUCCCUCCUCGAUGUUCUCUUGGAGAAGAUCUAUAGUCGUAUGGACCUAUUCAGCACCGUCCGUCUGGCCGCAUGCUCGGUGUCUUUGUACCGUCUACUCGUCUGCAACCAGCCGCCUCUUUUCAAGACACCCUACUUGCUGAUGCCCGAUCCUCGCAGGUGGCCCAGACACCGACUUGACGAUCCUACGGAGGUUGCGGUGGUGCCCCUCGACAUGCUACCGCUACCCGUCCACAUGUCCUUCAUGCGCCGCCACUACUGGGCGGGCAUGAAGGCCAACUGGAUCGUCCUCAUCCACCACACCGGUAGUCCGUGGUGUCUCGUGGAUAUCUACACCCAGCGAGAGAUCACCCUUCCAUCGUUCAAUACCACCGACAUCGAGCCUCGCGGCCCGCCGGACACUCCUACCUACUACGCACGAGACGCGUCAAGCUUUUGGCUCGACCUCUGUUUGCAGAAAGUUGUAACCUGCGAAGUGCCCACACCAUCAGAAGACUACAUGGAUUACAAGCUCAUUGCCUUGUUCAACAUGGGAUUAGUCUAUCUGGAAUCCGGUCGCCAUACAUGGUUAUGGCUCAUCAUCAAUUCUGUUGAGGCAACAUUUCUGUCUGAUGCUAUAGUGCACAAUGGCAUCGUUUACGCGGUCGACACACAUAUUGGCUGCCUAUACUGGUGGAAUCUAUCAUCGUGUAAUUGUUCUAUCUCAUCUCAUCUUUACCUUAUGAAUACGACUGCAUGUUCAUUUGUUACAAAUUUAGAAUGCAUAGCAUGUCUAUAACCACAUCAUUGCUAUAUGUUCCUCUCAUUUCCUAGAUUUUUAUGACCACAAAUGUUAUUGUUAGAGUUGAUAUGAGAACAAUUGGCAUCUAAUGAUUGUUAGAAUACAUAUUAUGAGCAUAACAUCAUGAUUGCUAUAUGUUACUCUCGUUUACUAGAUUUUUAUAACAACGCAUGUUAUUGCUUAGAGUUGAUAUGAGAAUGGUAGUAGUAAGUGCUAUGGUAGAAUAUGAGUAGGCACUGUCAUAGCUGUUUUCCUCUCAUUGUUACAUGAUGUUUGAACCAUGACAUGUUGCUAGAAUAUGAAAGCCAUCGGCUUAUUUUUUUAACUUGGGGUAUGAUUAUGACUAUGGCAUUGCAAUUCUCUGUCUAUGAUAUGUGUCACUGUUAUAAUAAUCUUAAUUCCACACAUACUCUGAACAUGAUUGUUUAUUUUUGUCCUUUUGGUCUCCAAUUUGAAUUGUUGCAGCAGACGCAAAUGUGCUGGCCUUCAUGAUUCCAGGACCUGGAAUCAUACCAGCCGAUGGGUGCUGGUUUAUCGCUCGUUCAGCUGACGGCGGUCAUUUGAUGCUCAUUCGCACAUACCAAAUUGACCAAACCAUUACAUCAAACCACAUGCAGUACAAUGCGUGGGGCGUUCAUGACAUUGAUGGCUAUGGCUGCUUCGUGUUCGAGAAAGAUCCCAGCUCCGUUGGGCCAGGCGUAUUCAACUGGAGGCGGGUUUACAGCCUCGGCAACCACUCCUUGUUCCUCGGGCUCAAUUAUCCGAUCAUCCAACCAAUCAUCGAUCAUAUCACCGGCGAUGAUUACUGUGCUAUGCAACUUCCAUUCGCGAGGAGGGGCUGUGUUUACACAUCAUACCAUGGGUUUCAUGGAUCACCAUAUCCAGAGAUUCGUCGACACAGCUUGUUGCCAGGUAAUCUUCAGUGUGUGAAAGGCAUCAAGCUUCCAUGCGAUGGAUGGCUUUUGCAAACCCGACAUGCGGCGAUGUGGUUCAUGCCAACAGCAAAUAUGCACAACUUGAUUCGUGCUGAUAUCUAGACUGAGCCAUGUAUUCUGCUGCUGUAGCACGACCCUCUUUUGUUGGAUAUUAUGUACUGUUGUUAGUUUGAAGCACUCCUCUGGUUUGAAGGAUAGAUACCUUCCUGCGAUCAAGUGCAUCCUAACUCACCUGCGUAGGAUGUACUGAUAAUGAUGAUGGAGAUGUUGUGCAGAAGCCAUAUAUAUAUACAUAUAUAUCAGUUAGGCUUCAAGUGUGUACUUGUUAGUUAAACCUAUGUAUAAAUUGUGACACUAAAUACGACUAGUAAGUAGUAUAGUAGCAGUACUAGUAUACGUCGGUCAAAUUAUUCAUCAUGUCCACACAUUGAAUUGACGUGACAACACACUGCGCGUGAGGUGACUAAAGAAUCCCGGUGGCGUGUUCAGGUAUUCCGGACUUCAGAUUUGGAGUACCACUUAUCUGUCGAAAUCUUUUUUUUUGAAACGGAGGCAAAAGAUUUGCCUCAUCCAUUAAAUAAGAGGAGAAUAGAGUUUAGAGUUUUUACAAGCGCCCUUGCAAAACGGCAUGGCAAUUGCUCUCGUACAACUGUCGAAGAAGCGCGAGUUUUUCACUGUCAAAAUCUAUCAUCAUUCACUUAAAACAGUUGAUUGGUCAUACAUUGAGUACCAUAUAACUGGAAUUACCGAUGCAAGUCGAAGAAGGAUUGGCCGGUGCUGCCGGCUGGCGUCAAGUUCGAUCCCACGGAUCAGGAGUUGAUCGAGCACCUUGAGGCCAAAGUGAGUGUUGACAGCGCGAGAUUUUAGUCUCUCAUCGAUUUGUUCAUACCAACCAUCGACAGCAAGGACGGCAUAUGCUACACCCAACCUGAGAAACUUCCAGGUAAGACACCGAUCGGCCGUCUACUUGCACAAACAUAUUCCUUUGUUUAUAGCUCUAUUUUUCUUUUUAGACGCAGACCUGGUGAAACAAUUACAGUUUGACAGUUAAUAAAAAGUGAAACAAGUGACUGCAACAUGCCAAAGAUGUUAUGAAAAUGCCAACUAGGUACACUAAAACCUGUAUUCGACAAUACUGCGGGUAUCACACUGAGUGGCCUAAGGAAGCAUUUCUUCCAGCGCAAUUCCAGGGCGUUCAAAAGGGGCACAUGGACGCGUCGCAAGAUAUAGUCGGAGUGCGGCACGCACGCGAUGUGGCACAAGACCGGCAAUAUCUUGCCUGUGAUGGUCAACGGCCGGCAAACGGGCAACAAAAAAGGUUCUGGUGCUGCACACCAACAAGAACUUCGACCAGCAGAGGACCAACUGGGUGAUGCACCAGUACCACAUCGGGGACCUGGAGCAAGAGAAGGAGCGGGAGCUGGUCCUCUGGAAGAUUUUCUACCAGACGAACACUAGGGCCAGGAGUAGUUUGGUAUUGGUAGUUGUACUACCUUGUCAUCCGCAAGUUGGUAUUGUUGUUAAGAUCUUUUGGUAUGAACUUGCAUUUGCUUCCAACCAUCAUGCCGAGGGUCGAUGUGGAUAUAAAGCUGAAUCAUUUGUUUCGAAAUGAAUUCUCAGGCACCUGAUUUUUAUUUGAUGGGUAGCAUAAGCACCCGCCGUUCGAAUUCCCAGUUCUGCAGUUUUUUUGAAACAAGUGCAUGCACUUAUUAUCACGAUAAAAAAACAAUAUCCGUGCUGCGUCCCAGUUAUCAGUCUGUGCUUGCAGAAUUCUCUCAUUUAUUGAGCAUGUAUAUUGUUUUUUCAGGUCAAGCAAGUUUCAACUGGGCUGUAGACUGACCAGGGUUGGUUUUGUUUUUAACAGGCCCAGCCCAUGACGACAACGGGGCACAAAGAUCCAGCAGGUAUCUACUGGCCUCUAGCCCGCCAGCGUUAGUUAUAUUUUGUCUUACAACAUCUGCAGGCAGUUUUGUUACUGAAUCAAACACACAGCCCAGUUCUAUUUUCCUCUUGAAACGCAUGUCCUACAUCCGUUUUCUAAUCUCUACCUAUAGUUUUACUAGUUCAUAUACAUGUAUCAUUAUAUUGAAAACACAUAAAAUUCCCUUUUCAUAUUUACAUCCUUAUUUUUGUUGUUUUUUUCCACCGAGCGCUGAUUUUUUUACCACUGGUUUUCCCUUAAACCAACUCAAUUGUCCCACGUCUUAUUUGCUUACAAAAACAAAACGAUUUUUUUGGCAAAUCAAUAAAUUCUUAAAAAAAUGUUUAUCAUUUCGGGAUUACAACAGUUUGGACUCCACCGAAAUAUGCAAAAUAAGGUUGAACUUUUUGACCGUGGUCCUGGGCAGAAAAUGGGCUGUAAUAAAUUACUUAAGAAUUAGCAAAUGGGCUGCAAAUUAUAAAAAAUAGCAAAUGGGCUGCAAAUUGUAAAAAAUAGCAAAUGGGCUUUAUGUUGUCUGCCACAGAUUUGGAGGCUGACUUGUGGGCCUACUAAGUUCAUGCGUACACAAGGUUUCUUAAAAAAGAAACUUAGUCAACAAUCGACUCUACCAGUGUCAGACCAUUAGAUGUCAAUCUAAUGGCAAUCGUGCUUCUUCAGUCUCUGAUCUUCCUGCCCCAGCCGUCGGAACCGCUUGCUCCCGCCUCUCGUGGCCGGCAAUACUGCCGGGCAGGCCUCACGGCCCCAUCAUACUCGCAUCCCUGGCCUAUCUAUCCCUCUACUCACCCACAACUCCUGUUAUUUUCCGGCGACGGCAGCCGAACCAGUCAACCCUCGUACUCUCCACCGCGUGGGCAGCCACUGCCGUGUCUUCGCCGGCUCCCUCUCGUUCCCUUCGUAGGCCUCACCGUCGUCCACCGCCCUGGUGCUCUCGCCGCGGCGUGGUCAAUGAUGUCCAUCCAACGGCCGUAGUGCUUCUUCAACCUCUGGUCUUCUUGCCCCAGCCGCCCAAAGCAGCGCCGGUUGUGCCGCAUGCUCCUGCCUCCUGUGGCCAGCUGUGCUGCCGCGGAGGCCUCACCGUCCCCAUACUACUCCCACCGCUGGCCAGGCCAUCCCUCCACUCAUCCACUCCCCCUGUUAUUCUGCGGCGACGGCAGCCUCACACCGCAGCCGAGCCAGUGAACCCUCGUACUCCUUUCCGCGUGGGCAUCCAUUGCCGCGUCUUCCCCGGCUCUGCGUCGUCCCCUUCCUAGGCCUCGCCGUCGUCCACCGCCCUAGUGCUCUCGGAGCGGCGUGGUCAAUGUGGUCAACGACCGACUUCCAUCGGAAGAGUACUGUACAUGGAGAGCUAACAGCUGGGUCCACGGCAGCUGCAAGGAAGUGCCUCCUUAUUACGCGGAAAAUAAUUAUUCCUUCACCUGACAGCAGGGACCCACCGGACGGGCCACCAGUAUUUCACGGAAAAAACGUUUCCCCCCUGAUUGCUGUGACCCACCGGACGGGCCACCGUAUUUCGCGAAAAAAACGUUUGCCCCUGACUGCUGGGACCCACCGGACGGACCACCGUAUUUCGCGAAAAAAAUGUUCCCCCCGCUGUCAGCUCGGACCCACCGGAAGUGCCUCCUUAUUACGCACAGAAAAAUGAAUACUCCCUCUGGUAGCUAGGACCCACCAUGGUGGGAGGCUGACUUGUGGGCCUACUAAGUUGACGGGGACAGAGGGCUUUGUCAACUUAGUCAAUAUGAAUGAUUCUAGCUCCAUUGACCAUACGAUGUCCAUCCAACGGCCGUCGUGCUUCUUCAAUCUCUGCUCUUCCUGCUCCAGCCGCUCAAACAAGCGCCGGCGGGACUGCCUGCUCCCUCCUCCCCGCGGCCGGCUAUGCUGCCGCGCAGGCCUCACCGCCCCCACCAUACUCCCAUCGCUGGCCUAGCCAUCCCUCUACUCACCCACACGGCCACACCUGCUGUUAUUCUCCGGCGAGGGCAGACGAACCAGUAAACCCUCGUACAGUCGUACUCCCCUCCGCAUGGGAAACAACUGCCGAGUCUUCCCUGCCUCUGUGUCGUUCCCUUCCUAGGCCUCGCCAUCGUCCAUCGCCCUAGUUCUCUCAGCGCAGCAUGGUCAACAUGGUCAAGGAACGGCUUCCAUCGGACGUGGACUGUAUGUGGAGAGGCUGACAGCUGGGUCCACGGCCGCAGCAAGGAAGUGCCUCGUUAUUAUGUGCAAAAUAAUUAUUCCUCCACCUGACAUCUGGGACCCACUGGAAGGGCCUCUGUAUUUCGCGAAAAAACGUGCCCCCAGCUGACAUGUCGGACCCACCAGCUAUCUUCGCACGCAAGGAAGUGCCUCCUUAUUACGCACACAAAAAUGAAUACUCCCCCUGCCAGCUGGAACCCAGCAUAGUGGGAGGCUGACUUGUGGGCCUACCAAGUUGACGAGGACAGAGGGCUUUGUCAACUUAGUCAAUAUGAACGAUUCUAGCUCCUAUUACCGUACGAUGUUCAUCCAACGGCCGUAGUGCUUCUUCAACCUCUGGUCUUCUUGCUCCAGCCGCCCAAACCAGCGCCGGUCAUGUCGCGUGCUCCUGCCUCCCAUGGGUGGCUAUGAUGUGGCGGAGGCCUCACCGCCCCUACUACUCCCACCACUCUCCAGGCCAUCCCUCUACUCACCCACACCCCCUGUUAUUCUGCGGCGAUAGCAGCCUCACACCGCAUCCAAACCAGUGAAUCCUCGUACUCCUCUUCGCAUGGGCAUCAACUGUUGCGUCUUCCGCGGCUCUGAGUCGUCCCCUUCCUAGGCCUCACCGUCGUCCACCGCCGUGGUGCUCUUGGCGCGGCAUGGUAAACGUGGUCAAGGAACGACUUCCAUCGAACGAGGACUGUACGUGGAGAGGCUGACAGCUGGGUCCACGGCCGCCGCAAGGAAGUGCCUCCUUAUUACGCGCAAAAUAAUGAUUCCUCCACCUGAUAGCGGGGACCCACCAGACGGGCCAUCGUAUUUCGCGAAAAAAUGAUUCGCCCCCCUGACUGUUGGGACCCACCAGCUACAUCUUUGCAUGCAAGGAAGUGAGUCCAGGCACACAAAAAACGAUUCGCCCCCCUGACUGCUGCGACCCACCAGCUACAUCUUCACAUGCAAGGAAGUGCCUGACAGUCGGGACCCACCUGGUCGAAGCGUACGUAGCAUUGUCAUUCUGGUCGCGAACGUGUACGUACAUACUGGUAAAUGUAGAGGCGCGCAUGUGUCGUAGAUGUAGAGGCGCGCACGUGUCGUAGUAGAGGCGCGCACAUAGCAUGUACACAUACGUAUAGCGGCAAGGGUGCAAGAAAGAAAAUACAGCCACGUACGUACAUACGGGCAGGGUCUCUAAUGCCUAUCGCGCAUACGUACACGGCUUGGUCGGAACGGAGAAACAGCGUCGUCGUCGUGUUCAUGGGGAGCCAACCGGCUGGGUCGGAACGGAAUGUGUGGUUGUGUUCAUCGGGAGGGCUUGGAUGGAACAGGCAAUGGAAACGAGGUCUGGAGUACCGCACAACGGAGGAAACGGCCUUGUGUUCGACCGGCCACGUUCGAAACGGGGUCCUGUUGAUUGGGAGGGGCCUGGCGUACCGCAAAACGGAGGAAACAGACCUCCUAUGGUCGAAAUGGGGGUCCUGUUGAUCGGGAGGGGUGUGGUGUAUCGCAAAACGGACGAAACGGACUUGUGUUGGAGCGCUACGGUCGAAACGGGGGUCCUGUUCAUCGGGAGGGGUGUGGCGUACCACAAAACGGACGAAACGGACUUGUGUUGGAGCGCUACGGUCGAAACGGGGGUCGUGUUCAUCGGGAGGGNNNNNNNNNNNNNNNNNNNNNNNNNNNNNNNNNNNNNNNNNNNNNNNNNNNNNNNNNNNNNNNNNNNNNNNNNNNNNNNNNNNNNNNNNNNNNNNNNNNNNNNNNNNNNNNNNNNNNNNNNNNNNNNNNNNNNNNNNNNNNNNNNNNNNNNNNNNNNNNNNNNNNNNNNNNNNNNNNNNNNNNNNNNNNNNNNNNNNNNNNNNNNNNNNNNNNNNNNNNNNNNNNNNNNNNNNNNNNNNNNNNNNNNNNNNNNNNNNNNNNNNNNNNNNNNNNNNNNNNNNNNNNNNNNNNNNNNNNNNNNNNNNNNNNNNNNNNNNNNNNNNNNNNNNNNNNNNNNNNNNNNNNNNNNNNNNNNNNNNNNNNNNNNNNNNNNNNNNNNNNNNNNNNNNNNNNNNNNNNNNNNNNNNNNNNNNNNNNNNNNNNNNNNNNNNNNNNNNNNNNNNNNNNNNNNNNNNNNNNNNNNNNNNNNNNNNNNNNNNNNNNNNNNNNNNNNNNNNNNNAGUUAGCAGCAGUAGUGAAGGAAUCCUUCCAUCGGGUUCAGUUAACAGCCAUCGAUCGAUCCCUCAGGUUCAGUAACGCGUAGCCUGUAGUGCAAUCGCUCGGGUUUAGUUAGAGCCCAACGCCUCGCUCGGCUUCAGUUAGAGCCAACGCCUCGCACACACGCGCAUACGUACGAGAGAAACGCGCAUCGCUCCGCCCCCGACCUCCCACCAUAACCGGCAACUCCCCAAAAUUUUCCUCCCCCUCGCUUCUACCACGGUUUUUUUCGUCAUGGACGGCCCAAAGAAUGUCAUGCAGCUGCGUCUCCGGCCCGCCCAGGACGAAAAGCCCAUUUUCUAUCAUGAUUUUUUGUCAUAGAAGUAGGAGCCCACCACAUCUAUGAGAUACCGGGUUUUGUCACAAUUAUCGUCAUAGAAGUGUCCUAUGUAUGACAGGAAAAAAAUUCGUUCGGCCCAAAAUGUCACGGAUGUGUCUUUUUUUGUAGUGAUUGUUCGGGCCAUCUCAAUAAGAGUUAUGUUCUUGCGCUUGGCAAUGCCAUUCUGCUAAGGUGUGUAUGGAGCAAAGAACUCAUGAGUGAUACCCAUGGUAUCCAGGAAGAGGUCGAGGCCGGUGUUCUUGAACUCAGUGUCGUUGUCGCUUCUGAUGUGCUUGAUCUUGACACCGUAGUUCGUCAUGGCACGGUUGGCAAAGCGUCUGAAGACAUCCUGCACUUCAGUCUUGUAGAGGAUUAUAUGCACCCAAGUGUAUUGAGAGUAAUCAUCAACAAUGACGAAGCCAUAGAGGCAAGCAGUAGCAUUGAGAGUGGAAUAGUGAGUAGGGCCAAAUAAGUCCAUGUGCAGCAGCUCGAAGGGUUGAGACGUGGUCAUGAUUGUCUUUGAGGGAUGCUUGGCUCUUGUCAUCUUCCCGGCUUCGUAGGCGCCACACAAAUGAUCCUUCUUGAAUUUGACGCCUUCGAUGCCCACAACAUGCUUCUUCUUUGCGAGAGUGUGCAAGUUCCUCAUGCCAGCAUGUCCUAGCCUUCGAUGCCAAAGCCAGCGUUCUGAAACUUUUGCUAGAAGACAUACAGCCAUCUGUGGACCUGCUGAGAAAUCUACCAUAUACAGAUCACCUUUUCGAUAUCCUUCAAAGACUAGAGACUUGUUAGAUUCCAUCCGUACAAGGCAGCGAUAUUUUCCAAAUAGCACAAUCAUGUUUAAGUCACAAAGCAUUGAGACAGACAUUAAGUUGAAACCAAGGGAUUCAACAAGCAUCACUUUAUCCAUGUGCUGAUCCCUUGAUAUUGCAACUCUACCUAGACCCAAUACCUUGCUUUUACCAGUGUCAGCAAAUGUGAUGUGGCUUUUGUCUGAUGGACAUAGCGUUCAAUCCAUCAGAAGACUUCGAUCGCCAGUCAUGUGAUUAGUGCAUCCACUGUCCAUAAUCCAUUCUGAAGCACGAGGUGUCGUAGCCUACAGUGCAGUUUGGGGGAUAGGCUUCACCAAGCAAGUUGUGAAGCAGAAACAUUUAACGAGCAAGUGGAACAUGGAAAUUCAGGUCUUGGUUAGGAUAGACAGGAUGAGUAUCAAGAAAAUCUGGAAUGGAAUACAUAGUAAGACUAUUUAGGCAUUUUAUCUUGCGCCCAACAAGAUUUUUCAGGUCUCCAGCAUUAGCUUCGGAUGCUUUUGAUUUCCGACUGGAGACCUUCCCUGCAAAAGAGAGUUAAGUUUUCUUAACCACCCACAUCUUCAGGGGUGGCUUAGAAGCAAUGAGUCUAAGUGCAGCAUCUGAGAAUUUUGGCUUUUGAGCCCUAGUAAAUAGCCUUGCAGGGGGUGAAUAAUACUCAUAUGAAUAAGCAGAAAAGUUCUUGGUUCUAUGAACAUAGCGGUUUAAUGAAACAUGCUCAUAUUCAUGGGUCUGAGUAUGAUUUUCCUGCAAAACAUUGAUGUUAGGGUGACUCAGAUGAGACCUUGGUCUGUAUGAAGCUUUUGGAAUGUAUGACGCCUUUGGUAGGGGGUUUGUCUUCUUCACUGGUGGUGUCGUGAUGACAUUCACAGGAAGAUUCUCAAGGCAACUCUUGGGUACCCAUAUCUUCUUCAUAGGUGACCCAUUCCUGCAGUUAGUACCAAUAUACCUCGCAAACACUUCGCCAUUCUGAUUCUUAAACAGUUUAUAGUUUGCAUCAAAGGAUUCAUCAAUGAUAAUAGGGUUAGCGCAAGUGAAACCAGAUAAGGUGGAUGGAUCUACUGGAGGUUCCUUUGCAGCAACCCAGGUAGUUUUGGGGUACUGCUCAGGCUUCUAGUACGACCCAUCAACAUUCAUUUUCCUUUCGAACCCAACACCCUCUUUUCUAGGGUUUCGGUUCAGAAUCUCCUUUUGAGGACAUCACAUAAUGUCUGAUGCCCUUAGAGGCUUUUGUACAUCCCUGUCUCAAGCAGUGUCUUCAACCUGGCAUUCUCAUCGGUAAUAGUGGUGGUAUCCUCAAUAGAGGGGUUAGUUACCACAUCAGCAGUUGAAUGUAUUGCAACAGGAGUAGCAGUAGAACAUUCAGCAACAGAGGCAGCAUUAUCACGUUUAAUGCAUAUUAGACAUGGUGGUUCAAAUCCUUCCUGAGCGGGACUGAUCUGUUGAGCACGAAGUGACUCGUUCUCUUUUUGAAGAUCUUCAUGAUCCAAUCUCAAUUUCUCAAGUUCCUGCUUCCUUUGAAGAUAAUCGUAGGAAAGCUUUUCAUGAGAUGUUGAGAGGGUAUCAUGACGACCUUCAAGUUCCUGGUACUUAACAUGAAGAUUUUUUUAUGUCUUUAAUGAAGGACUGAGUCUUAGUCAUUUCCGCGUCCAACAGGUCAUCGCUUUUGUCUAAUAGUUUUUGAAUAUGUUCCAUGGCAUUCUGCUGUUCAGUUGCAAUUUUAGCAAGUUUUUUGUAGCUGGGUUAGGAAUCACCAUCAGAGUCAUCUUCACUUGAUGUUUGAAAGUAAGCAUCGCGAGAGUUUACCUUGCCACCACGUGCCAUGAAGCAGUAGGUGGGAGUCGAGUCGUUCUCGUCAUUAGUGUUGGUGACGGAGUCAUUGUCUUCAGUGUUGAAGAUGGACUUGGCGACGUAGGCGGUAGCUAGAGCCAUACUUGCGACACCAGAGUCAGACUCCUCCUCAGACUCCACCACUUCCUCCUCAGAAGCAGACUCCUCCUCUGAAUCCAUUUCCUUGCCAACAAAAGCACGUGCUUUGCCUGAUGAGCUCUUCUUGUGUGAUGAAGACUUAGAGGAAGAUUUGGAAGAAGACUUGAAGGAUUUCUUCUUCUUGUUGUCAUCAGAAUCAUAUUCUUUGCUCUUCUUUUUCUUCUUCUCACUGUCCCACUGUGGACAUUCAGAGAUGUAGUGGCCAGGUUUCUUGCACUUGUGACAGGUUCUUUUCUUGUUGUCAUAGGUGGAAGCUUCAUUGUCCCUUGAGCUGGAUCGUGAAGACUUUCUGAAGUUCUUCUUCCUUGUGAAUCUCUAGAACUUCUUCACAAGCAUAGCAAGCUCCUUUCCAAUGUCUUCAGGAUCAUCAGAAUUGCGGUCAGAUUCUUCUCCAGACGAGGAAGCCGCAGCCUUUGCCUUCAAGGCACGAGUUCGGCCGUAGUUGGGGCCAUAGAUAUCUCAUUUCUCAGAUAGCUGGUACUCAUGUGUGUUGAGCCUCCCGAGUAUGUCAAACGGAUCGAGUGUCUUGAAAUUAGAGCGUUCUUGUAUCAUCGGGGCUAAGGUGUCAAAUGAGCUGUCAAGAGAUCUCAGCAGUGUCUUCACAAUUUCAUGCUUCGUAAUGUCAGUUGCACCGAGUGCACGGAGCUCAUUGGUAAUAUCAGUGAGGCGAUCAACUGUGAGCUGGACGUUCUCGUUGUCAUGUCUUUUGAAGCGGUUGAAGAGGUUGCGAAGAGUACUGAUUCGUUGAUCACGCUGUGUUGAGACGCCUUCAUUCACCUUGGAGACCCAGUCCCAGACUAGCUUCGAUGUUUCCAGAGCGCUCACACGGCCAUACUGCCCUUUGGUCAGAUGACCAUAGAUGAUGUUCUUGGCGGUAGAGUCCAGUUGAAUGAACUUCUUCACAUCAGCGGGGGUGACACCUUCACCAGUCUUGGGAACGCCAUUCUUGACGACAUACCACAGAUCGACAUCAAUGGCUUCAAGAUGCAUGCGCAUCCUAUUCUUCCAGUAGGGAUAUUCAGUGCCAUCAAAGAUGGGACACACAGCGGAGACCUUGAUUAUCCCUGCAGUCGACAUAGCUAAAACUCCAGGUGGUUAAACCGAAUCACACAGAACAAGGGAGUACCUUGCUCUGAUACCAAUUGAAAGUGCUAGUUAUCGACUAGAGGGGGGGUGAAUAGGCGAUUUUUAUGGAAGUCCUCAAAACAUGGGAGUUUCGAAGACAAACAGGAGAAACAACACUAUUCAUAUGCAGCGGAAGGUAGACUAUACUAGACAAGCCAUAGUCAAGUAUUCAAUGAAGUGAAAGCAUGAAGACUAUUAGCAGCUAGGUAGUAAGGAUCAGGGUGGAAGAUAGUAUGAAGCCAAUCAGGACAAGUAGUCAAACAGUGAAGUCAAACAGAUUAUGCAAGCAGGCAAUGACUUCACGAAGACAAACUAUAAGUAAAGAGAAGUGAGAAAUAGAACCAGUAGCUUCAGGGAGACAGUGGUUUGUUCGACCAGUUCCAGUUGCUGUGACAACUGUACGUCUGGUUAGGGAGGCUGAGAUUCAACUCAGAAGACAUCGUCUUUAGCUUAUUCCCCUUGAGCUAAGGACACCUACUCCCCGCCCAAUCACUCAGGUAAGUCUUCAAGGUAGACUUCCAAACCUUCACAGGCUUUGUUCACCGGCAAUCCACAAUGACUCUUGGAUGCUCAGAACGUGAUGCCUAACCGGCUGGAGGAUUCACAGUCCUCAAGUGUAACAAGUCUUCAGAUCGCACGGACAGAAAGACUUCAGUUAUGCCAAACACACUCUGGGCUCUGGGUGGUUUGGGCUUUGUCCUUGCAAGGAUUCUCUCUCUCAAAGGCUUCGGAGGUGGGUUGCUCUCAAACGACAAAAGUCGUAUCUAACUCUGAGCAGCCACCAAUUUAUGGUGUAGGGGGUGGGUUAUUUAUAGCCACAAGGAAACCCGGCCUGAUUUUUUCGAAAUGACACUGGGUCACUAAGGAACUGACACGUGUCACAACGGUCAGAUUUCAAACACACGCGGCAACUUGACUUGGGCUACAAGUAAAGCUGACUUAUCCGACUCUGGAUAAGAUUUGCUCUCAUUGUCUUCGCUCGAAGACAUAGGAUUUGUUUGAGCAUCACUUUAGUCACUCUGACUUUGUUCACUGGGACCCCACUUAACAGUGUGGUGGUUCCUAUGACUCAACAAAGAAGAAAAGGAAACAACGAAACAACUAAGUCUUCGCGUUCCAUAGUCUUCACUCAAUGUCUUCUCAUGUCAUAGUCUUCAAUGUGAAUAUCUUCACAGACCAUCAUUGUCUUCAAUGUCUUCACACAUUUUUAGGGGUCAACUCCGGUAGGUAAACCGAAUCAAUGAGGGACUACUACCUGUGUUAUCCUGCAAUUCUCACAAACACAUUAGUCCCUGAACCAGGUUUGUCAUCAAUACUCCAAAACCAACUAGGGGUGGCACUAGAUGCACUUACAGUUGAUACGUCUCCAACGUAUCUAUAAUUUUUAAUUGUUCCAUGCUAUUAUAUUAUCUAUUUUGGAUGUUUUAUAUGCAUUAAUAUGCUAUUUUAUAUUAUUUUUGGGACUAACUUAUUAACCUAGAGCCCAGUGCUAGUUUCUGCUUUUUCCUUGUUUUUGAGUUUUACAGAAAAGGAAUAUCAAACGGAGUCCAAACGGAAUAAAACUUUUGCGAUGAUUUUCCUUUUGGACCAUAAGAAACCCGUAGGACUUGGAGAUGAAGUCAGAGGAGUCCCGAGGUGAUGACAAGCCGCCUCAGAGGUCCUCCAACCCUAAUCUUUGGCCUAUAAAUUCAGAAAUAUUCCCAAACCACCAGAAGCGUACACCAAAAUACUUUUCCGCCACCGCAACCUUCUGUAACCGUGAGAUCCCAUCUUGGGGCCUUUUUCGUUAAUCCGUCGGAGGGGGAUUCGAUCAUGGAGGGCUUCUACAUCAACCCUAUUGACCUUCCGAUGAAGCGUGAGCAGUUUACCACAGACCUACGGGUCCAUAGCUAGUAGCUAGAUGGCUUCUUCUCUCUCUUUGAUCUUCAAUACAAUGUUCCCCUCGAUGUUCUUGGAGAUCUAUCCGAUGUAAUAUUCUUUUGCGGUGUGUUUGUCGAGAUCCGAUGAACUGUGGAUUUAUGAUCAGAUUAUCUAUGAAUAUUAUUUGAAUCUUCUCCGAAUUAUUAUAUGCAUGAUUUGAUAUCUUUGUAUUUCUUUUUGAAUUAUCGGUUUGGUUUGGUCAAUUAGAUUGCUUCUUCUUGCAAUGGGAGAGGUGCUUAGUUUUGGGUUCAAUCUUGCGGUGUCCUCACCCAGUGACAUAGUAGGGGUAGCGAGGCACGUAUUGUAUUGUUGCCAUCAAGGGUAAAAAGAUGGGGUUUCAUCAUAUUGCUUGAGUUUAUCCCUCUACAUCAUGCCAUCUUACUUAAGGCGUUACUCUGUUAUUAUGAACUUAAUACUCUAGAUGCAUGUUGGAUAGCAGUCGAUGCAUGGAGUAAUAGUAGUAUAUGCAGGCAGGAGUCGGUCUACUUGACACGUAUGUGAUGCCUAUAUUCAUAAUCAUUGCCUUGGAUAUUGUCAUAACUUUGCGCUUUUCUAUCAAUUGCUCGACAGUAAUUUGUUCACCCACCGUAUGUUUUCUUUCAAGAGAGAAGCCUCUAGUGAAACCUAUGGCCCCGGGGUCUAUUUUUCAUCAAAUACUUUCAGAUCUAUAAACCAAAAGAAACAAAAAUACCUUGCUGCAAUUUAUUUACUUUUAUUUUGUAUUACCUUUUAGUAAUCUUUUAUAUCUUUCUCUACCAGAUCUCAUCCUUGCAAGUGGUCGUGAAGGGAUUGAUAACCCCUUUAUUGCAGUGGGUGCAAGUGUUUGAUUGUUUGUGCAGAUGCAUAGAUUGAAGACUUGCUUGUACCUCCUACUGGAUUGAUACCUUGGUUCUCAAACUGAGGGAAAUACUUAUCUCUACUUUGUUGCAUCACCCUUUCCUCUUCAAGGGAAAAACCAACGCAAGCUCAAGAAGUAGCAGGAAGAAUUUCUGGUGUCAUUGUUGGGGAGGUUCUACAUCAAGCCUACCAAGUACCCACCAUAAACUCUCGUCUCUUGCAUUACAUUAUUUUCCAUUUGCCUCCCGCUUUCCUCUCCCCCACUUCUAAAACGUUUUCAGAAUAUCACAAAAUAUUUGCCUUUUUAUUUGCCUUCUUUUCGUUUGCCUUUUAUGUCUUACUUGGUUUGUUUGCUUGUUUGCUUGGAAUAAUUGUGUAUUUAUUGAAAAUCAGAAACAAAAAGGUUUAUGGAUCCACUUAAAGUUUUCCACUUGGAUCAUCUUCGAUCCAUAUGUGCUCGUGCUGAAACCCCAACUAGUUUAGUUGCGGGAAAAUCUUUAGAUGAGCAUGCUCAUUUUGUGCGUCACCAUUUGUCUGAAAAAGGGAGACUCUUAUGGAAUAAAUAAAUUCUUUGCUUUGUUAUGCUUGGAAUCUUUGUGAACAUUGUGAUUUUACUUGUUGCUCUAAGAACCCUAAAAAACACCUUCCCUACCUAUGUGAGUAGAUGAAGGGGGGAUAUUAGCUGGGUAAGGAAAACGCUUUCGGAGAUUGAGAUGUCGAUUUUUUUUCAUAGAAAAGGAAGAAGGCUGAGGGGAUAGUAGCCUUCCUUCGGGCUUUGCCUGCCGACGUUCUAAUAAAGAAUUCCGGCUCGGCCCGGGAAGUGCUGGCAACAACAUAAAGAAAGGGGUCCAUGUAGCUGCUGUGCCCGCCCACUGAGCAGCAGGUUCGGCAUCUACUACAAAAGAGAGAAUCCACUUCAAAUAACCACGUCUCUGCUAGGCAGCGUGUGGAAUGGCCUAGAGCGGUAAUGAUAAUGAAAUCCUAUCUUCUUAUGAAAAGGGUGUUUAUAGUUACUAUGAUAUCGAACAAAUUGAAGAAUUUGUUGCUUUUAAGGAUGCUUAUGAAGUUGCUUCUUUGAUUGAAAAGUAUGAUAUUACUCUCUACAAAUCUGAAAAUUUUGACAUACUUAAAUAUAGCUAUGAAAACUAUAUAUGCUCAUAAUGCCUAUGUUAAGGAAUUUAUUAAGAGAAUGUCCACUGCUUUGGAAGAAAAUAAUGAUAUGCAUGAACCUGUAGAUAAUUAUGAUUCCAUUGAUUUUAUUGAAAUAUCCCUUGUUUAACAUGAUGCUUGCUAUUCUUAUGGCCAUGAUGCCAAUAUUUAUGGAGAUGAAUUUGCUAUAGUUCCUUAUGUUAAACAUGAGAUUAUUGCUAUUGCACCCAUACUUGAUAGUUCCUUAAAUCAAAAUCAUGAUUGCAAUGAUGUUAUUAUAAAUUCUAUUAAUGUCAGCUUUGCUAAUAUGCAAAACCCCAAGCUUGGGGAUGCUAGUUCUGUUAUAUCCACUACUUAUUGCAAUGAUCAUGAUUGGGGUGAUGAUGCUUUGAUGUCUACUACACAACUUUAUUCCUGUAGACUCGUGUUGGGCCUCCAAGCGCAUAGUUUUGUAGGACAAUAGCAAUUUUCCCUCAAGUGGAUGACCUAAGGUUUAUCAAUCCGUGGGAGGCAUUGGAUGAAGAUAAUCUCUCUCAAGCAACCCUUCAAUCAAAUACAAGAAAUCUCUUGUGUCCCCAACACACCCAAUACAAUGGCAAAUUGUAUAGGUGCACUAGUUCGGCGAAGAGAUGGUGAUAAAAGUGUAGUGUGGAUAGUAGAUAUGAGUUUUUGUAGUGCGAACAAUAAAAAAACAAGGUAGUAAAUAGUAAGAUGGAGCACGAAUGGUAUUGCAAUGAUGGAAAAUGAGGCCUAUGGUGCAUACUUUGACUAGUGCAAUCUCUCAACAAUGCUAACAUAGUUGGAUCAUAUGAUUAUCCCUCAGAGUGCAAUAAAGAAUCACUCUCGAGUUCCUAUUAGUGGAGAACAAAAGAUAGAAAUUGUUUGUAGGGUACAAAACAACCUCAAAGCUAUUAUUUCCUAUCAAUCUAUGCUAGAGUUCGUACUAAAAUAACACCAAGCUAUUCUUUCCGAUCGAUCUAAUCAAUAGUUCUUACUAAAAUAACACCAUAUGAUACAUAUCAACCAACUCUAAUGUCACCUAGAUACCCCAAUGUCACCGCGAGUACCCGUGAGUUAAUUAUAUGAUAUGUAUCAAACAAUUUCAGAUUCAUAAUACUCAAUCCACACAAAGAACUACAAGGAGACCCCAAAGUUUCUAUCGGUGAAAAGAUAAUAAAAACGUGCAUCAACCCCUACGCAUAGAUUACCCCAAAGUCACCUCAGGAAUCCGCAAGUUGAGUGCCAUAACAUAUAUCAAGUGAAUCAAAAUAAUACCCCAUUGUCACCACGGGUAUUCAUAUGCAAGACAUACAUCAUUUGUUCUCAGAUCUGAACAUUCAAUCCGACAAGACAAAACUUCAAAGGGCAAAGACUCAAUUCAUCACAACAAGAGUAGAGAGGGGAGAAACACCAUAUGAUCCAUCUAUGUUAAGAAAGCCCAUGAUACAUCAAGAUUGUAACAUCAUCUCAAGAUCAUGAGAGAGAGAGAUUAAACAGAUAGCUACUGGUACAAACCCUCACACCGAGGGUGGACUACUCCCUCUUCAUCGUGGUGGCCGCUGGGAUGAUGAAGAUGGCCACCGGUGAUGAUUCCCCCCUCCGGCAGGGUACCGGAACCGAUUGGUUUUCGGUGGCUACAGAGGCUUGCGGCGGCGGAACUUCCGAUCUAGGGUCUCCGUGAGGGUUUUUGGAAUAUUUGAGAAUUUAUAGGGCGAAGAAGGGGUACGGGAGGCCACCGAGGUGGGCACAACCCACCGGGUGCGCCUGGGGGCCCAGGCGCGCCCUGGUGGGUUGUGCCCCCCUCGGGGCACACCCCCCAGGUGCUGCUCUGGCCCAUUGGUGGUCUUUUGGUCCAUAAAAAUCCACAAAAAGUUUCACGGUGUUUGGAGAACUUUGAUUUCUGCAUAAAAAACAACACCAUUGUAGUUCUGCUGAAAACAGCGUCAGUCCGGUUAGUUCCAUGCAAAUCAUACCAAAAACAUAUAAAAUUAUUGUAAACAUGGCAUGAAUACUUCAUAAAUUAUAGAUAUGUUGGAGACGUAUCAGCAUCCCCAAGCUUAUUUCCUACUCGUCCCCGAGUAGGUAAAUGAUAAAAGAAAUAUGAAGUGUGAAUGCUAGCAAAGUGCACAAGUUUGAUCAAUGACAAUUUCAAUCACUUUUCCUAGCAUCAUAUCAGCAAUUCUUUCUUAUAAAACUUCUCAUGUUAUAGUAGCAACCAAUUCACAUGUUAAGGUUCAAACAAUGAAUUCUCUUGAAACUCAACAACCUAUGUUCUCAAUCACCAAGCAAAUUCAACUUAUUCAACAGAGUCUAAGUAAGAGCUCCACAUACUCAACCAUCAUAUAGUCUUUUAUGAUUGCUAACACUCACCACAUACACAUGAGUAAAAUGUUUCAACCGAACACAUAGAAAGAUAGGGGCUUAUAAUUUCGCCUCCCAACGUAUUCACCUCAAGGGUGAUGUCAACAAUAAUAACUCAUGCUACCCAUAUCCAACUGGAUAUAUGUGCCUAGAUCUUUCCUCACCACAUGAUGCUUGCAAAAGGAUAAAAAUAAAAAGGAAUAGAGAGAAAAACGUUGACUCUUGCAUGAAAGUAAAUACUGAAAAGUAACAGAUAUGAUGUUUGCAGAGGGAAGCAGAGGUUCCCAUGCGCUUAUUUUUUGUGUAAGUGCAUCUAGUGUCCCUUAGUGAUUUUGGUGUAUUGAAGACUUAUAGCUUAAGGGACUAAUAUGUUUGUGAGUGUACACAGGUUCUUUAAGUCGAUGAGGAGUUUGGCAUUUACAGUGAAAGUCUACCCCUAAAAAUGAAUGCCUUCAGCUAAAGACUUUGGUUCUCCUGAAGACUUUGAAAGUGAAGAAAUUGGUGUGAUCGUGAAGACUUGGAUAUUCAUGCGAGGAUUAUGAAGCAUGAAGACUUUUGUUUUCGUAGUUUCAUUUUCUCUUUCUUGAGUCAUAGGAAACACCGUACUAUUAAAGGGGGUCGAGGUAAUACUAAGGAAACUGAUUUCCAAGUGAUGCUCAUCUCAAAAUUCUACACCUACCCAAUCCUUUCGAGUGAAGCCUUUGGAAAUCUCAUGUCAGUUCAGUCAAUUUCUUCAGUGACAGAGACGAAGAUAUUCUGGUCUCUGAGGAAUUUGUUCUGACUGAGGAGUUAGGAAUUCGCUAGUGUAAAUCACCUACACAGUGAGGAACAUGAUAGCCCUGAGGAAUUCGAACCUCAAAUCCGGCCGUUGUUGUGCCACAUGCCAGCUGUCCAAAAUAUCCUACCACCUAACGGUCAUAUUAUUGAAGGGCAUUUAUGCCUUAUCAUGUCAGGUUGCUCCCUAGGCUAUAAAUAGCCGCCCCCUACAACCACUAGUUGGUUGGCUGCUCUGAGAGAAACUGACACUUGUCAAUUGAGAGCAUCCCAUCCUCCGAGGACUUUGAGCAAAAAUCAUCAAGUGAGGAAAAUCCAAAUCCUAAACCCAAACCUACAAAACCAAAGUGAUUGAGCAUCACUGAAGAGAUUGUUCUUGUGUGGAACCAAUGCUUUUUACCUUUGAGGACUGUGUAUCCUCCAGACGGUUAGGCGUCAUGCUCUGAGCAUCCAAGAGGAAUUGCGGAUCACCGAGUGACCUAGUCUGUGAAGGUUUGGAAGUCACCUGUGAAGACUUACCACUACUGUUGGGCGAGGUCUGUGUGAUCUUAGCUCAAGGAUAAUACGAUGAGGACUGUGUGUCCGGGAUUGUGUGUCUUUGAGUUUAAAUACUCAGCCGCUCCAACCAGACGUACAACUGUCACAGAAGUUGGAACUGGUCUACCAAAUCAUUAUCUUCACCAAGCCUACUGGUUCUAUUUCCUCAACCCUUCCAUUUCCUCAUUCAUGUGUUGAUGAACCUAAUCAUUACUAUUUGAAGACUUUGACUGAAGACUUUCUUUAUUUCCUCAAUCCAAUUUCUUCAGUCACAUUGUCUUCAGCCUGCUUAUCAUGUGUUUACGCUUUCUGUACUCUGUGUCUGUCUUUCAUUUCAUCAUGAUGACUAUGCUUUUGCUCUGUUAUGUUUAUACCUGAGUACUUAUUCCGCUGCUUGUAGUUCGUGACUUAGGAAUUUCCUCACCCAGAAAUUCCUCAGUGACGAAUUUGUAAAAAUCGCCUAUUCGCCCCCCUCUAGUCGACUUAACGCACUUUCAAUUGGUAUCAGAGCAAGGUACUCCCUUGUUCUGUGUGAUUUUGGUUUAACUGCCUAGAGUUUUAGUUAUGUCAACUACAGGUAUGAUCAAGGUCUCGGCUGGGUGUCCUACCUUUCAUGGGAUGGACUACCCCUACUGGAAGAACAAGAUCUGCAUGCAUCUUGAGGCAAUUAAUAAUGAUCUCUGGUAUGUUGUGGAAAAUGGCAUUCCCUCUGUCACUCCAUCUGUGAAUGCUGAUGAUGUGAAGAGAUUCAAGCAACUCAAUUCUCAAGCGAAGAAUAUCAUAUGUGGCCAUCUGAGCAAAGGACAGUACGACAGAGUGAGUGCCCUGGAAACUGCCAAGCUGAUUUGGGGCAGGCUGUCCAAGGUCAACGAAGGAGUCUCAACUCAAUGUGACUCCCGAGUUGAUGUUCUUCGCAAUAUCUUCAACCGCUUCAAAAGACUCGACAACAAAAAUGUUCAGCAAACCUUCGAUCACCUCACUGACAUCUCAAAUGAGCUUCAAGCACUUGGUGCCACUGACAUCACCAAUCAUGAGGUGGUGAAGAAAUUGCUGAGCUCACUUGAUACCUCAUUUGAUACCCUUGCACUGAUGAUUCAAGAGCGAGUUGAUUACAAGUCACUUGAUCCCGCUGAUAUCCUCGAGAGGCUAAACACACAUGAGUUCCAGCUUGCUGAAAAGAGAGAUCUCUAUGGACCGAGCUAGGGAAGAUCACGUGCACUAAAGGCCAAGGCAGUCUCUGAGUCUGAAGCUGAAGACUCUGGUAGCAGCCUUGGUGAUCUUGAAGAACUGAGCCAGGAGCUAGCAAUGCUCGUGAGGAAAUUCUAGAAGUUCUCUUGCCGUGGUCGCUUUGGAAAGUCUUCAAGAAAUGAUGAUUCCUUGUCUCGUGACUACAAAAAGAGAACUUGCCACAAAUGCAAGAAACCUGGUCACUACAUGUCAGAUUGCCCUCUGUGGGAAAAGGAAUCAAAGAAGAAGUAGUACAAAGAUGACGAUUCUGAUGAUUCAAAGAAGAAGAAAAAGAAAUCUUCAAAGUCUUCAUCAUCAAAAUCUUCAAAGUCUUCAUCGCACAACAAGAGCAGUUCCAAGAAGGCUCGGGCAUUCAUUGGCAAGGAAAUGGACUCUGAAGCUGAACUUGAGGACAAUGUGGAGGAGAAGGAAUCUCAGGAAUCAAACUCUGGUGUGGCAAGCUUAGCCCUUGCUACCGCUUACGUCAGCAAGUCCAUCUUCAACACUAAAGAAAAUGACCUCCCCAACUCUGCUGACAAAAGCUUCGGUGACUAUGCUCCCACCUACUGCUUCAUGGCAAAAGGUGCCAAGGUACUCAAACAUUCCCCCUCUGACUCUAGUGAGGAUGAAUCUGAUGACAAUCUCAAGCCUAGCUAUUCCAAACUUGCUAAAAUUGUUGUUAAACAACAGAAGGCUUUAGAAAAGAUUCAAAAUCAACUAGACAGAAGCGAUGACCUGUUGGGUGAGGAAUUGAAUCGAACCAAGACCCUGACAGAUAAUCUUCAGAGACUUUAAACUCGGUUUGACAACCUUCAAAAUCAUAAUAACACCCUCUUAACUGAUCAUGAGAAGCUUUCUUAUGAAUUUCUUCAAAGAAAGCAAGAUCUUGAGAAGUUCAAAUUGAGAUAUGAAGAUCUUCAGAAGGAAAACGAUUCAUUGCUUGCUCAACAGAUCAGUUCCGCUCAGGAAGAAUUUAUUCCACCAUGUCUGAAAUGCAUUGAGCGUGAAUCUACUAAUUUAUCAUCUGAAUGUUCAAAUGCUUCUAUUGCUGCAAAUUCUUCAACUGUCUCUGCAGUCACAAAUUCCUCAUCUGAGGAUACCACACGUAUCACUAACGAUAAUGCAGGGCUGAAGGAAUUAUAUGUGACAGGCAUUUACAAAAGCCUCAAAGGGCAUCAGACUCUAUGUGAUGUGCUCAGAAAGCAGAUCUUGAACAGGAACCCUAGGAAAGAGGGUAUUGCCUUUGAGAGGAAACUCAAUGCUGAUGGGACCUACUCGAAACUCAAUGGUGAAGGAAUUGUAUGUGACAGGCAUUUACAGAAGCCUCAAAGGGCAUCAGACUCUAUGUGAUGUGCUCAAAAAGCAGAUCUUGAACAGGAACCCUAGGAAAGAGGGUAUUGCCCUUGAGAGGAAACUCAGUGCUGACGGGACCUACUGGAAACCUUAGCAGUAUCCCAAAAACCUCAUGGGUUGCUGCGUAUGGACCUCCUGUAGAUCCAUGCACUCUAUCUGGCUUUACUUGUGAUUCUUCAUAUUCCUCUGAUGAGUCAUUUGACUCCAACUAUAAACUAUUUAAGAAUCAGAAUGGUGAAGUAUUUGCUCGAUAUGUUGGAACUAACUGCAGGAACGGUCCCCCUAUGAAGAAAAUCUGGGUUCCUAAAAGGUGCCUUGAAAAUCUUUAGGUGAAUGUCAUCAUGACACCACCCAUGAAGAAUAGGAACCCCAGAUCAAAUUCUUCAUAUGGAUCAAAAUCUUCAUAUGGAUCCAAGUCCUCUUCUGGACCAAAUUCUUCAUAUGGAUCAAAUUCCUCACAUGGAUCAAAAUCCUCAUAUGAACAUCAUCAUGCUAACCCUUCUGUUUUGCAGGGAAAGUCUAAAGGCCAUGAAUAUGUGCAUUAUUCUUCAAACCAUUAUGUUCAUAAGUCCUCGAAGAAUUUCUUUGCUUAUUCAUAUGCUUAUCCUAACCACUCUUCUGUGAAAUGAAGUGCACUAGCUUCAAUGCCAUCUUUUCUUAUGGAGCUCGAAGAAUGAUGAAUUCUUUGCCACCCCUCCAAAUGUGGGUGGUGAAGAAAAAGGACUAAUCUCUUAUGCAGGGUCAGGUCUCUAGAGGAACUUGAUCGUCUGAUGAAAUUGCUGGAGACCUGAAUGUGCUUGAAUGGACGCAAGCUAAUCAUGAAGAAAUGAAUCAUUCAUUUCUCACGUCCUCAUAUUACUAUGUCUAUUACUGUUAAUGAAAUUGAUAUCAUAUUCUUCACCGAUGAAGUAUAUGGGUUCGUAAGUUGCACUAAUCCAUCUGCAGGAUGAACAACCUAAAGCUACUGAGUGUGUCCUCGAUAGUGGAUGUACAAAUCACAUGACCGGUGACAGGAACUUGUUGAUGGACACUGACUUUUCACCAUCUCAUCUAAAGGAUAUCACCUACGCUGACAAAGGCAAAAGCAAGGUAUUGGGUCUAGGUAAGGUUGCAAUCUCAAAGGAUAGACACAUGGACAAAGUCAUGCUUGUCGAGUCCUUAGGAUUCAACCUCAUGUCUGUCUCAAUGCUUUGUGAUCUUGAUAUGAUUGUCAUCUUUGUCAAAUAUUGUUGCAUUGUGCUGAUGGAAUCUGACAAUUCCAAAGUCUUCGAAGGCUUUAGGAAAGGAGACUUGUAUAUUGUUGCUUUCUCUACAGGACCACAGCCUGCCACAAGUCUACUUGCAAAAGCUUCAGAAUGAUGGCUAUGGCAUCAACGACUUGGUCAUGCUGGGAUGAGGAACUUGCAUACACUCAUGAAGAAGAAGCAUGUCAUUGGCAUCGAGGGUGUCAAAUUCCUCAAAGAUCAUCUUUGUGGGGCUUGUGAGGCUGGGAAGAUCACCAGAGCCAAGCAUCCCUCGAAGACCACUUCUCGUCCCUUUGAAUUACUUCAUAUGGAUCUCUUUGGCCCUACUCAUUAUGCCAGUUCUCUAGUUCUGCAUCACUAUAUGGCUUUGUCAUAGUUGAUGACUAUUCUUGUUACACAUGGGUUCAUAUCAUCACUUACAAAAAUGAAGUGCAGGAAGUCUUCAGACGAUUUUCCUCAAGAGCUACUACUAACUUUGGUGUGAAUAUCAAGCAUAUCAGGAGUGAUAAUGGAACGGAGUUCAAGAACAAAAGGCCUCGAUGAAUAUCUUGAUAUACUUGGUAUUACUCACGAGUUAUCUGCUCCUUAUACUACUUAGCAGAAUGGCGUCAUGGAGCGCAAGAACAGAACACUUGUUGAGAUGGCUCGCACCAUGCUUGAUGAGUACAAGACGCCUCAACGCUUUUGGCCUGAAGCCAUUGAUACUGCAUGCCACAUCAUCAAUAGGGUAUAUCUUCACAAAAUCUUCAAAAAGACCUCAUAUGAACUCCUCACUGACAAGAAACCCAAUGUAAGUUAUUUCAAAGUCUUCGGUGCUAAAUGCUGGAUUAGAGAUCCUCACCAUCACUCUAAGUUUGCAACGAAAGCACAUGAGGGCUUUAUGCUUGGUUACAGAAAGGACUCGCACACCUACAGAGUCUUCAACAUCAAUCAUCGCAAGAUUGUUGAAACUGUAGAUGUGCGGUUCGAUGAAACUAAUGCCUCACAAAGAGAGCACCUACCUCCUGUGCUAGAUGAAAUGUCACAUGAGGAAUCCAUCAAGUUCAAAGCUACUGAGGAUAUCAUUCCUACCGAAGAAUCUGCUGAAGAAGUCAUUCUAGAUCGUGAAGAAAAUCACGCUGGUGCUGCUAAAGAAACUGGUCCUGAAGAAAUUGCUGGGCCUAAGCAAAGUCAUCAACCCACACAUCCUCACGUUGCAAACGAAGUGCAUAUCAAGAAGAUCAUCGAUGACAUCAACGCACCGGGUCCUCUCACGCGCUCAAAAGCUUCACAUUUAUCUAACUUUUGUGGGCAUUUUACAUUUGUCUCUAUCACAGAACCCAUGAAAGUUGAUGAAGCAUCCAUGGAAUCUGAGUGGAUUCAAGCCAUGCAAGAUGAAUUGCAUCAAUUCAAUCUCAACAAUGUGUGGGAGCCUGUCAAGCGACUAGACCCACGCAAGCACAACAUCAUAGGUACCAAAUGGAUCUACCGCAACAAACAAGAUGAAAAUGGCCUCGUGGUGAGGAAUAAGGCUCGUCUUGUAGCUCAAGGCUACACACAGGUUGAAGGAGUUGAUUUAGAUGAAACUUUUGCACCUAUUGCUAGACUUGAGGCUAUCCGCAUAUUGCUUGCUUACAUUAACCAUCAUAAUAUCAUCUUACAUCAAAUGGAUGUGAAAAGUGCAUUCCUCAAUGGUAAGCUUGAGGAAGAAGUAUAUGUUGCUCAACCACCAGGUUUUGAGGAUCCAAAAUUUCCAGAUCACGUCUACAGACUCAACAAGGCCCUCUAUGGCCUCAAUCAAGCACCUCAGGCGUGGUAUGACACACUGAAGGAAUUCCUCACGAAGAAAGGCUUCAAACCCGGUUCACUUGAUCCAACUCUUUUCACCAAAGCAUAUGAUGAUGAAUUAUUUGUGUGCCAAAUAUAUGUUGAUGAUAUUAUCUUUGGCUGUACUAACCAACAUUACAGUGACGAAUUUGCCCACAUGAUGAGUGAAGAAUAUCAAAUGUCUAUGAUGGGAGAAUUGAAAAAAAAUUAGGUCUUCAAAUUCGUCAACAAUACAAUGACAUAUUCAUAUCUCAGGAGAAAUACCUCAAGUAUGUGUUGAGGAAAUUCGGCAUGCAAGAUUGCAAAGGUGUCAAAAUACCUAUGCCCACUAAUGGCCAUCUAUGCACUGAUGAAAAUGGUAAAGACUUAUCAAAAGGUAUACCGCUCCAUGAUUGGCUCUUUAUUGUACCUACGUGCCUCUAGGCCGGAUAUUAUGCUUAGUGUUUGCAUGUGUGCCUGAUUUCAAGCUACACUGAAGAAAUCACACCAUAAGGCUGUGAAGCAUAUUCUUCGAUAUCUAGCUCACACACCAACACUUGGAUUAUGGUAUGCCAAGGGCUCUUCCUUUUAUAUCAUUGGAUAUUCAGACUCUGACUAUGUUGGUGAUCGGGUGGACCGCAAGUCAACGUCAGGCACAUGUCAUUUCCUCAGACGAUCCUUGGUAUGUUUGUCCUCGAAGAAGCAGAACUGCGUUUCACUCUCUACUACUGAAGUUGAGUACAUUGCUGCUGGAUCUUGCUGUGCUCAAUUGCUAUGGAUGAAGCAAACCCUCAAGGACUAUGACAUCAAUGUGAAGAAUGUGCCACUCUACUGCGACAAUGAGAGUGCUAUCAAGAUUGCUCACAACCCAGUUCAGCACUCGAAGACAAAGCGCAUCCAGAUUCAUCAUCAUUUUCUUCGUGACCAUGUGUUGAAGGGUGUCAUCUCCAUCGACCAUGCAAAUACUGAAGACCAGCUGGCCGAUAUCUUCACAAAGCCCUUGGAUGAGAAGAGAUUUAGCAAGUUGCGGUGUGAGCUAAAUAUCUUAGAAUCUUCAAAUGUUCUUUGAAAAGGACACACAUCCUAACACUUAUGCAAACUUGAUGACUUAGAUAUGCAACACACGAAGUAACAUUUUUCUUCAAUCAAUGAAGACUAACCCUCUAAGUGUGAAGAAAUUAAUGAAGAAAUUGAUUCCCAGAACCCUACGACAAUUGUACGCGGUGUCUGAAAUCAUCAUUCUUAUACGGUGGGAUACGCCACCAACCAAAGUUGAAAAUCUUCAAUUUGAGUUUUUGUUCGUUUUUGAAAUUCCUCAAUUUUUCACAUUCUUCAACUUUGCAUUGUCUUCACUCUUUUCGUCGUUGUUCUUCAUUGACUAUAUAUAUACUUGAGUUUUUAUGUCCUCUACAGCAUUCACUUAUUGCUAAUUCUUCAAGUUGACUUUUUCUGCUAAGUGAAUGUGAUUGGACCCUUUCCCCUUCUAUGCUAAACUCAACCUAGUCUAUUCACAAAUUAUUCAUGUGCCUUCUAAUUAAAACUCGUCCAAACUCUUCACUGUGUCCUUGCCAGCUGAAGAAAUUGCGAACGAAACAUUAAAAUAUUCUUAUCUGAAUUUUCGGCUUUUGCCGCUCAAAUCAUUACUCUUCCCAUGAUAAGACUUAUCUAUUCACCCACGAUCUUACACGAUCGCCACCACACUGUACAUGGGUGACACAUGUCGCUAGGAUGAGAAGGGUCAGGGGCACGUUCAUCCAUUUUCCUCGAGCGAGCGGUUUUUCACUUCGGCUAUAAAUACCCCUCACCCUCCUCAGACUGCAUUUACCCCGCUCGAUCUCACUCCCCUCGCUCAAGCUCUCAAGCCCUAGCGCCGCCGCUACCUUCAUCGUCAUUAGUGAGGAAGAGCUUCACUGCCUCGUCCUCGUCGCCAUCGUACUCGCGCCGGCCGCGGACAUCUUCUCUCUACCACCGCCGUAGUCAUCUUCCUAUGCCAAGUUAGGGCGUGGAAGAUCCGGACAGACGAACUUCUCAAUCUACACUCCCAGUUCGUCUUGUUCUUCGUCAAGGGUAAUUAAAAGUUACUUUUACUGCCUUUGUUACUACUGAUAAUUUUCAUCAAAUCUUCAAAAGGUGUUUAUUCUUCAACUUCCACACUCUAAACACCUCACAUAAUCAUCUGUUCUUGAUCUGUUUCUCUAAGUGACGUUUUUCUUCAUAAUUCCUCAAUUGUGUGAAUCUCACCAUUUGCACAACUCUGGAACCUAAGUCAAAGAACGCUUAUUGAAAUUCUUCAAGACACAUCUGGUCAAUUUCCUUAAACUUGUUCCGUUUUGCAAAAACUUUUGAGAACGCAUAUGACCUCUCCUAAUUCUUCGCACCUAUACUCUGUUCACAGGUACACAUGUCUACUGCUGAAUCACUAGGUUCUCAUCAGCUUAACUCAUUUGCAGCGUUCCUCGAAGAAAAGCUGCAUACUUCAUCAGAGAACUCGAUUGUUCAAAUUCCUCAGCUGAAGAAAAUGGCAGAUGGCAAAAGACCUCAGAAGGGAGGAAAGAAGCUGGAAGUCAACACUGCCUUUGAGAUCCCUGCUGGCAUCUAUGCAGGGUACUGCACACCUGAUGAGGCAACUCAUGGGAAGGAGACCAAGAAUGAGCGCAAAGUGCGCAUACAGAAAAUUGAACGAAGAUGGGCACGAGAAUGGAGGGAGUACAAAUAUGUUACUCCCAGAAAUAUGAAGAAAUUCACUCUAAACCCUCCUUGCCUAAGACCUCCGUUGGCACCUAGCCAAAGAGCUGAUCCCGCAAGCAUCAAACAUGGUGAGGACUAUGCUGAUGAAUGGGACAAGCGGCAAGCCAAGUUGGCCAAGCAGGCCAAAGAAGCAGUGAAGAAAUUCAAUGAAGAUUCUGUUGCUGCCGCUGUUGAGGCCACCACGAGCAAGAAGGCUAUGCCCAAGAAGCCUACUCGCAAACCUCAAUCCUCAACAAUGCCCUCACGGCCAAGCUCUUUAGUGCCCUCACGGCAAAUACCUCAAGCUGCUCCAGUUCCUUAGGUUGCAAAACCCUCAGCUCCUCCGGCAAAGUCCUCAGCACCUGUGCAUCUUGCCACUUGCCAAAGGACCACAGACAUCUCAAUUGCCUCAGGAGCUUCUGCAAGUUCUUCAGUUCCUCAUCUGUCUUCAAAGAGCCCAACUUUGCUAAAGACUAAGGCCACUGCAGGACGAGGCAUUAGACUAAGUCCUCACAAGCAACAAUUUGCCUUUCAAGUACCAUCUGAUGAUGAUGAGGCUGAUGAUGAUGAAUUAGCUGAUAUCAUCAAAGAUAGACAACAAAGGGCCGCUAGAGCCAAGGGAAGUCUUGUGCCUCUUCUAUUGGAUCCGAAGAAGAUCAUGGAUUUCAUUGACCUCUGGCACAAAGAUCCAAACACUCUUGUGCCUGAGCUAGAUCUCACUCCUGGACAAAGUCACAUGUUGACGUCGUUCAUUGCUAAAAAAAUGGAAAUAUGAUCAAGCCAGAACUGCGAAGAAAGCCCAGUACAAGAAACAACGCUUUCUGAAGGACAACGUUCUAAGGCUAUCACCUGAGCAACUCGUCGCUAUGCAAACUGAGAUCAAGAAGCUCAGUGAUGAAUUUGACGCCUAUAAGGCAGAAUGGCUGGGAACCAAUGUCAGAUUCAUCAAAAUGGCGAAGAAAUUCACUUCCAAUGUUGCUGACCCGUCGCACAUUGAAAUUCCCUCGGCUGAAGCAUCUGCUCAGCCAACUGAAGAACAUGCCAGCACCGCUGAUGAAAAUCAGGCUGCUGAUGAAACUGCAAGCACCAGGGCUGAAGAAAUACCAGCCACUGAAGAAACUGCCAGGGCAACCACUAGUGUUGCACCUGAAGAACAAGUCGGGCCAACUGAAGCAUCAGAAUCUGCUCCUGAAGAAAUUGCACAAGACAGGACAACUACAUCAGUUGUGCCUGAAGAAAUUGACCCAAUUUCCUCUGCUCCGCUUGCACCAACACCAAGCCCAAUUCUUCCUCCUGCUCUGGCAGUGAAGAAAAUGAAGGCUGCGGAGCAUGCUGAUCUGAAGAACAGGAAAGCAUCUGCUUCCUCAUAAUCUUCUACGUCCAAGAAGACGAAGAUUUUGACAAGCUCACUUGAGAAUCCUAUCGAUGUUGUUCCUCUCUCAAGCAUGCCAUCAAAGGAACUCAUUCCUUUUGGUGAAGAUUAUGAGAUUCCUGAUGAAUCUGAUGAAGAAAAUCCUUUCAUUGCUUCGAUGGAGCAGAUGGAUGAAGAAAUUCAAGUGGACACUCUCCCUUCAACUCCCCUGGUAUCAUCGCCCAUGCCUCAGUUUACAGUUGAAGAGACGGGCAUUGAAGAAAUGGAAGAAGAUGAAGAUGUGGACAUUGGGAGCACCACACCUGUGAUGAACGAUGACUUUUGGGACAGUCAGCACCCCAACUCUCCUCUGUUCACACCGCUUUAACAAAUUCCUCAGCCCCCAGUCUCUACAGAAGUUUAGAUGGGCUCUGAUGAAAUUCAUACAGCCCCUUCUGUUCCUGAAGAAAUUCCAGCCACUAGUGCUGAUGACAAAGCUGCUGAAGAAAUGGAGACCCAGGCUGCUACUGAAGCAGAAGCUGAAAUUCCUCAGUCUGCGGCUCCAGAGAUUGAGAUUCCCGAGAUUGUGCUGCAAUUUACUGAUACUCCUCAGCCUAAGCCAAAGAAUCCAUUCUCGAAGACGCCAAAAUUCAAGGCUGAUGACUUCUUCCAUGAGCAUGUGUUCUUCACUGACUACAACCCCUAUGACAUUGCUCGUCUUAGAAGGAAGCGUUUCUGGACUGCCAGCCAAGUAAGCUUCUAUUCUUCAGUGCUUUUCAACAAAGACAAAGUCUUUGACCAUGAGCACAUUCCUCGUGUUGAUAUGGAAUCACUGUCGUGCUUCGCACCAGUCCUCAGUGUCAUUCAUGAUGCUGGAUUGCUAAACUUCCGCACUGACAUCUGUGAUUGGAAUGAAGAACUCAUUCUUCAUUUCUAUGCGACGCUGCACAUCACUGGUAAUGUUGACGAUGUGAACUCUUGGGCGCUGGACUGAAUGACAGAAAACACUCACUUCAAAGCACCGGCCUCUGAAUUGCUUCAUGCCCUGCCUGUCAGUCCUCCCCUUGAAGGUGCUCGUGUUAUCUAUCAUGAACUUGAGCUGUCUGAUCACUACAUGCAAGUGUUGAUGAAGCCAUUGAAGCCUGGCCAAGCCUCAAGGACCAAAUUUCUCGUGAAGGAAUUGAUGUAUGUGCCUCGGACUGUCUAUCGCAUUCUGACCAAGACACUGAGUCCUACCAAAGGCCACGACUCGAAUGAUGAAGAAGUUGUUGGCAUCAUGAAGAAUAUGCUAUUCAACAUCAAGCAUGGUAUUCUAGUAAACUAUCAUGACUUCUUCAUGAGGACUUUGGCAAACGUUGCAUUGUCUCCCUUUGAAUUGAAGCCUUAUGCUCGCUGGAUUAUGAGAUUCCUCAAAUCAAGGUCAUCAAUCAACUACAAAGCUGAUACACUCGACCAUGGCAGUUACUUGCCCCCUAUUGAAGUCCUCAAGCGGACAUUUUCCUCGGCUGAUGAAAAGGGCAAGGCCACUGCAAUUAUUGAUGAGGGCAAUCGUCCAUUGGAUGGACAGUUCCGCAAAGCUGCCUCAUACUCCACCAAUGAUGACUCUGCCACUCAUGAUUCUACCGCCAAUGCCUCAAAGCAAAGUCCUCAAGCCACAGCUCCAAGGGUGAUGAUUGAUCGUGAGCUUCUCCUCAGUUUUCAUUAGAAGGUGGAUCGCAAUCAUAAAUGGGCAAGCAUUAGUUUGGUGCAAUUCUUCACAACAUGACUGGUACAUACAAUUCAGUGAAGAAGAACCACUACUACCUCAAUGAAGUUUUUGAUCGCACCUGGGUUGUUCUGACUCAUCUCUAUGGUGAUGAAGACCUCAAGCAGAUGGACUUCAAAUAGGAUCAGCUGUUUUAAGCCUCUGGCGAAGAAAUUCAAAAAGGUCGAAGUUCCUCCUUUGGUGCCCAGCUCAUAUUCCUCAUCACGCAAGACUGAUGACAAUGAAGACUUGGACGACACUGCGGCAGGCCCUACUCCAACAACCGACCCCAACAAUGCUGGCGCUCCUCCAUCAACUUCGUGAUGAAAUUCUUUAGGGGUGUUAGUCCUCAUUUUUUCGUCCCUUUUGGUCAUCUGAUGACAAAGGGGGGAAUUUGAGUUAGUCUUCAAGCGGGUCUAUCUCUAUAUGGGCGUUUUUUUGUUAACUUGCAACUCUCGCUCUUCUGAAGUGUUUGUUGAUUGAGUUGUAAACUUAAGUCCGAUGGUGACCUGAUACUUUUGCUUUGUUUUCUGCAUGUUAUUUCCUCAUAUAUACUAUGCACGCAUGCUGAAUUACAUAAGUCACCACAUUUCAUCAUGCAUUUCAAAUUCUUCAUUCGAUAUGUUAAAUGCGUGUAUGAAUUACAAGAUAUAGGGGGAGAUCUCCAUGAUUCCACUCUUCAAAUGGGCAUUGCUUCAAAAGCAAAUUCCUCACUAUGCACUUCUUCAGGGGGGGUUCUUCUAUAUAUUGUAAUCAAAUUCCUCAAUAUUGAGCACUUUCAAUUCAUAUGUUUAUCCCCAUUGAAAACUAAACCUAUAUUGUCAUCAAUCACCAAAAAGGGGGAGAUUGUAAGUGCAUCUAGUGCCCCUUAGUGAUUUUGGUGUAUUGAAGACUUAUAGGUUAAGGGACUAAUACAUUUGUGAGUGUACACAGGUUCUAUAAGUCGAUGAGGAGUUUGAUAUUUGCAGUGAAAGUCGACCCCUAAAAAUGAAUGCCUUCAGCUGAAGACUUUGGUUCUCCUGAAGACUUUGAAAGUGAAGAAAUUGGUGUGACCGUGAAGACUUGGAUAUUCAUGCGAGGAUUAUGAAGCAUGAAGACUUUUGUUUUCGUAGUUUCAUUUUCUCUUUCUUGAGUCAUAGGAAACACCGUAUUGUUAAAGGGGGUCAAGGUAAUACUAAGGAAAGUGAUUUCCAAGUGAUGCUCAUCUCAAAAUUCUACACCUACCCAAUCCUUUCAAGUGAAGCCUUUGGAAAUCUCAUGUCAGUUCAGUCAAUUUCUUAAGUGACAGAGACAAACAUCUUCUGGUCUCUAAGGAAUUUGUUCUGACUGAGGAGUUAGGAAUUCGCUAGUGCGAAUUGCCUACACAGUGAGGAACAUGAUAGCCCUGGGGAAUUCGAACCUCAAAUCCGACCGUUGUUGUGCCAUGCGCCAGCUGUCCAAAAUAUCCUACCACCUAACGGUCAUAUUAUUGAAGGGCAUUUAUGUCUUAUCAUGUCGGGUUGCUCCCUAGGCUAUAAAUAGCCGCCCCCUACAACCACUAGUUGGUUGGCCGCUCCUAGACAAACUGACACUUGUCAAUUGAGAGCAUCCCAUCCUCCGAGGACUUUGAGCGAAAAUCAUCAAGUGAGGAAAACCCAAAUCCCAAAACCAAACCUACAAACCCAAAGUGAUUGAGCAUCACUAAAGAGAUUGUUACUGUGUGGAACCGACGCUUGUUACCUUUGAGGACUGUGUAUCCUCCAGACGGUUAGGCGUCAUGGUCUGAGCAUCAAAGAGGAAUUGUGCAUCGCCGAGUGACCUAGCGUGUGAAGGUUUGGAAGUCACCCGUGAAGACUUACCACUACUGUUGGGCGAGUGAAAGGAUCGAGAAGAGGUGUCUAGAGGGGGGGUGAAUAGACCCUUAACACACAAAGUUGGUAGUUUUUAAGUUUAUCAAGUUUAGGUGGAGUUUAAGCACAAGUUGAACCAUUCACAAUACAUAUCAAGCAAGCAUGCAAAGAGUAUAUGGGCAGCGGAAUUAAAGCAUGCAACUUGCAAGAAAGUAAAGGGAUGGGAUUGGAGUGUGCAAACGCAAUUGGAGACACGUAUGUUUUUGGCAUGGUUCUGAUAGGUGGUGCUAUCGUACAUCCACGUUGAUGGAGACUUCAACCCAUGAAGGGUAAUGGCUGCGCGAGUCCACGGAGGGCUCCACCCACGCAGGGUCCAUGAAGAAGCAACCUUGUCUAUCCCACCAUGGCCAUCCCCCACGAAGGACUUGCCUCACUAGGGUAGAUCUUCACUAAGUAGGCGAUCUCCUUGCCCUUACAAACUCCUUGGUUCAACUCCACAAUCUUGUUGGAGGCUCCCAAGUGACACCUAACCAAUCUAGGAGACACCACUCUCCAAAGGGUAAUAGAUGGUGUGUUGAUGAUUAACUCCUUGCUCUUGUGCUUCAAAUGAUAGUCUCCCCAACACUUAACUCACUCUCAUAGGAUUGGAUUUGGCGGAAAGCUGAUUUUAGUGGAAAGCAACUUGGGGAAGGCUAGAGAUCAAGAUUCAUAUGGUUGGAUUGGAAUAUCUUGGUCUCAACACAUGAGUAGGUGGUUCUCUCUCAGAAAAUGAGUAGUGGAAGUGUAGGCACAUUCUGAUCGCUUUCUUUACGGAUGAGGAGAGGGUGGAGGGGUAUAUAUAGCCUCCACACAAAAUCUAACUGUUACACACAAUAUACCAAACUCGGUGGGACCAAAUCACAAAACUUGGUCGGACCGAUUCAGUACAUAAUGUGACCGUUAGGCAAUUUCGGUGGGACCAAUAUGAUCAACUCGGUGGGACCGAUGUGCAAGGGUUAGGGUAAAACCUCAUCUCGGUUUGACUGAUUACACAACUCGGUGGGACCGAUUUGAUAAUAAGUAAAACAGAGAGUUGGUCAGGCAAACUCGGUGUGACCGAUUACAUCUUCUCGGUGGGACCGAAAAUAUUGCAAUAGACAACAGAGAGUUUACAAGCCCAUCUCGGUGAGACCGAGAUCCCAUCGGUGAGAUCCAAGUGAUUAGGGUUUCUGGCAGUGGCUAUGUCAACUGAACUCAGUGGCGCCGGAUGUAUCAAAUCGGUGGGGCCAAGUUUGACUUUUGGUUUGGGACAUAUGUGGAUAUGAUAAAGUGGCUGAGGGCUUUGGAUCAUAUCACUAAACACACUGAGCAAGCAAGCCAUUAAACAACACCUCAUCCCCUUUUAAUAGUAUUGGCUUUCCUAUAGACUCAAUGUGAUAUUGGAUCAAUAAAAAUAGAGAAUGUAGAGUCCUGAGCUUUGAGCUUGAGCCAAUCCUUUGUCUUUAGCAUCUUGAAGGGGUUCCACAUCUUCUUGUCCAUGCCACUCCACUGUUGGACUUAUCUAAAAUAUACUAGAUAAAAGUAUUAGUCCAACAAGAGAUAUGCUGACAUUAUAAUUACCAAAAUUACCCAGGGAUCACUUGUGCUUUCAAUCUCCCCUUUUUUGGUAAUUGAUGACAACAUACAUCAAAGCUUUAGAUAAAGAUAUAGAGAAAGGCAAGUAAAGCUUUGGAAAGACAUGUAACAUGCAUAGGCUUCCCCUACAUGUAUGAAAUCAUGUAAAUAUGAAGCAUAAGAUCAUGUGACUGCAUAAUCAUGACAGAGCAAGCAAUGAGUUACAUGUAUCUUGGCUAUAUGCAUCAGAGCAAAUGGUGUGAACAUGGGAAAUGUACCUUCAUGCUCAUGAGUCCUUCUUGCAAACAAUAUGUACAUCAGCAAGAGAUCUUCAUGCACAUGAGUGUGAUGCAUAUACUUACCUUGUGGUCUUGAGCUAGCUUUGGAAGAGAUGAACCUGAGUAAAUAAGGUUAGACAACACAGAAACAUCUACAAGCAGAGCAAGAGCAGUAAACCACAAGAGUACCAAGAUUUGGGAUGACAUGUGUAGAGUGAGUACUAAGUACUCUAUUUGAGUAUAGACACGUCCCCAAAGGGAAAGAUAUGCAAUGAAAUCAAAAGAUUCCCUUCUCUUAGAUGUCUUGCUCCCCCUAAAUCUUAUAAUGGAUAUUGGGAGAAGAUAGGGAGUAGAAAAUCAGAGCAAAGUAAACACAAAAACAAUAUGAACAUGUCUUUCCCCUCUAAAGACAUGUAACUUCUCUCCUCUUUGAAUACCAAGCAACUGGGGUUUCUCUUUUGAAAAAGAAUGUCUCGCUCCCCCUGUUGCUCUCUCUCCCUGUUGGAGUGAUUAAGCUUUGAUGUGAGCUCUCUCUCCCCCUAUGACAUCAAUUUCCAAGAAGGGCCUUCUGGAGUGUGAGUCAAAAUAGGUUGGUCCUUGAGUCACAGAGCAAAGCAGCACAUAGAAUAUGAUGCUCAUAGAGGAUACGAAUCAUCGAGUGGAGCUGGAACAAAAUGUGCAGAAAGUAAGUGACAUAGUGAUUUCUCAGCAUUGAAAUCGGCUACACCAAGUUGAUUCCUUCGGUGGCACCGAACAGUUUUGGUUUGACCGAAAGAGGAAAAUCGGUUUGUCUGAGUUCAUCAUAGAGAUAAAGCACUAGUCACCUCAGGUCACUAAGCAAAUAAGAUCUCACAAGGAUUUGCAAUGAAUGAACUAAAGGAUUUGCAAUGAAUUGGGUGCAGAGAAAUGCAGAACAAAAAUAAAAGAGAAUAAAUCUAGAUGAAGUUUUUUUGAAAGGGGAACAAAUAUGCAUGAGACAAAAUGCAAGAACAAGGAGAAACACUAGAGAACUUCAUCUAGAAUUGGUCGGCGACAAGGUCACCUAUGUUAGAGUAUAUUGACUUAGGAGUCAAGUGAAGACACUUGAUCAUAGGUCAUACUCAUUGUUUAAGCUCAAAAAUGGGGUUGCCAUUUUCCGUUUAAGCAUCUUGAUGUAUUCACAUCUUUUUGAGUUGCUUUGGCCCAUGUCUUGGGGUAAAGCUUCUCUAAGAUGGAAUAACAUACCUUGGGUGGUGGUGUUGAACUUGAUCAUGUAGUUGAACUUGUGUGGGAUGCUCAAUGUUGAUGUAGUUCGUUUGGAGCACCACUUGUAAUUGGAGUUCAUCUACCUACAUGGAUUAGAUUUUCAAGGAAGAGCACUUGUGUAUCCAAAAUGACAAUCAUGAAAUUUGACUUAGGAAGUCGUCAAAAGAUAUAUUUGAAGGGUUUUAUUCUUCCUUGUCUUCAACCACCGUAAAGUAGAGACUUGGUGAUGUAGAGAUUGCUCAAGAUAUGAGUGAGUUGCAAUCUCAUAGAUUCAGAUCCAUCCAAGUACCUACAUGGGUUAGAUAACAUGCAAGGGUGCGAGUGUAUCCAAGAUAUACUAUUAUCAUCAUAAGAGAAAUAUCAAGGAUUAGUCAUAGGCUCAUGUCUUGCAUGUAUCCAAAUGGAGUUCUUACUCCAAGUUUGAAGCAUCAAUGAUGUUCAAUUCACCUCUCAACCUGCAAAACACUUUCUCAUCAAGUGGUUUAGUGAAUAUAUCCGCCAAUUGCUUGUCGGUGCGAUCAUGCUUAAGGUUAAUAUCACCCUUAGCAACAUGAUCUUGAAUUAAAUGAUGACGAACUUCAAUGUGCUUAGUUGGAGAGUGUUGCAUGGGAUUGUGGGCAAUCUUAAUAGCACUUUCAUUGUCACAAAGCAAAGGAACAUGUUUCACAUAUAUCCCAUAAUCUUUAAGAGUUUGGGUCAUCCAAAGUAAUUGAGCACAACAUGAACCGGCGGCAAUGUAUUCCGCUUCGGCGGUGGAUAAGGAUACCGAGUUUUGUUUCUUGGAGGACCAAGACACAAGAGAUCUACCAAGAAAUUGACAAGUACCCGAAGUGGACUUUCUAUCAACCUUGUCUCCGACAUAGUCCGAGUAGGAGUAGCCAACAAGAUUAAAAUAGGCCCUCUUUGGAUACCAAAUGCCAAAGUUUGGUGUAUGUAUUAAGUAUCUCACUAUCCUUUUCAUGGCCUUAAGAUGACACUCUUUAGGGGCCGCUUGAUAUCGUGCACACAUGCACACACUUAUCAUAAUAUCAGGACGAGAGGCACAUAGGUAUAAUAGUGAACCAAUCAUAGAGCGGUAAACCUUUUGAUCAAUGGGUUCACCAUCUUUGGUCAAGUCAAGAUGUCCAGUAGUAGGCAUGGGUGUACUCAUACCUUUGCAUUCUUGCAUAUUGAACUUCUUGAACAAGUCCUUGGUAUACUUCCUUUGAGAGACAAAGGUACCUUCCUUUGUUUGCUUGAUUUGCAACCCAAGAAAGAACUUGAGUUCACUCAUCAUAGACAUAUCAAACUUCUCCAACAUGAGCUUACCAAACUUCUCACUAAAAUGAGGGUUAGUUUAUCCAAAUAUAAUAUCAUCAACAUAAAUUUGGCACACAAAUAAUUCUCCAUUAACCCUUUUAGUGAAAAGGGUAGAAUCAAUCUUUCCAAUCUCAAAGCCUUUUUCAAUAAGGAACUUGGUCAAGCAUUUAUACCAUGCUCUAGGAGCUUGUUUAAGACCAUAAAGAGUUUUGUGAAGUUUGUAAACAUGAUUGGGUUUCUUAGGAUUAACAAAGCCGGGAGGUAACAUAAACUUCCUCCUCAAUUUCACCAUUUAGAAAAGCACUUUUAAUCUCCAUUUGGUAUGAAGUGAAUCAUGGUGAUUAGCAUAGGCAAGUAAGAUGCGAAUGGACUCAAGUCUAGCAACGGGGGCAUAUGUCUCACCAUAGUCCAUACCUUCAACUUGAGUGUAGCCUUGGGCGACGAGACGUGCUUUGUUGCGAACUACUUGUCCAUCUUCAUCUUGCUUGUUGCGAAACACCCAUUUGGUACCGAUGAUGUUGUGGUUGUUGUCGGGCUUCUCGACCAAUGUCCACACUUGGUUUCUCUCAAAGUUGUGUAGUUCUUCGUGCAUGGCAUUUAUCCAAUCCGGGUCUUCAAAUGCUUCUUCUACCUUCAUAGGUUCAAUGCUAGAGAUGAAUGAAUAAUGUUCACAAAAAUUAUCCAAACAAGAUUUAGAGCGAGUGAUUCUCCUGGUUUGGAUAUCAUUGUAGAUUUGCUCGACAGUAUGGUCUCUAGCAACUCUUGCUCGAACUCGUGAGAGCUUUUGCUUUGAUCGGGGUGGAACAUCUUCUUCAUCAUCUUGUUCUUCUUCUUGGCCUUCAUCAUUGUUGACGUUGUUGUUCUCACAUCAUGGUGGAGAAGGAGGUUGAUGAGGUUCAUCUUGGUGUACUUCCUUGUUUUCUUCAUCUUGGUGUGUCCCACUUGUGGAUGCUUCCAUAUCAACUCUUGGUUCACCUUGUAGUGAGGUAGAAGCUUCCACUUGGACGGACGAGGUACUCUCCUUCACCUCCGUUGGACGAACCUUGCCAAUAGAUAAGUCUUGGAUUGCUUCCGAAGGAUCUUUAUCUCCUACAUCAAUUGGCAAUUGCUCUACUUGCGAGCCGUUAGAUUCAUCAAACUUCACAUCUACCAUCUCUUCAACCUUUCGGGUGAAAUUGUUGUAGACACGGUAAGUGUGAGAGUUUGAGUCGUAACCAAGUAGGAAACCUUCAUGAGAUUUAGGAGCAAAUUAAGAACGAUGAUGCUUAUCAAGAAUGUAGCACUUUGAGCCAAAUACUCGAAAGUAUCCAACUUGGGGUUUGUUACCGGUGAGGAGCUCGUAUGCCGUCUUGCCGAGUAGCUUGUGAAGAUACAUGCGAUUUCUUGCAUGACAAGCUGUCUCAACCGCUUCCGCCCAAAAGUGCUUUGGCGUCUUGUACUCAUCAAGCAUUGUUCUUGCCAUUUCGAUGAGCGUCCAGUUCUUCCUCUCAACAACUCCAUUUUGUUGAGGUGUGUACGUAACCUAGAACUCAUGUGAAAUCCCUUCUUCGUCAAGAAAGGUGUCCACAUUGGCGUUCUUGAACUCCAUUCCAUUGUCACUGUAAACCUUCUUCAUCUUCACUUCAAAUUGAUUUUGGGCCUUCCUCGUGAAGUUUUUGAAGAUCUUCUGGACCUGCGAUUUAUCAUCGAGAAAGAACACUCACAUAAAUCUUGAAAAAACAUCAACUAUAACUAGACCAAAUGAGUUUCCACCGAGACUUUUGUAGGCGUUGGGACUGAAAAUAUCCAUGUGCAGUAGCUCGAGCACUCUCCUUGUGGUCAUGAUGUUCUUCACGGGGUGGCUUCCUCCAACCUAUUUUCCUGCUUGGCAAGCGCUGCAAAGUCUAUCCUUAUCAAAUAUGACAUCUUUAACACCAAGGAUAUGAUCUCCUUUAAUAAGCUUGUCAAGGUUUCGCAUGCCCACAUGACCUAACUGUCUAUGACACAACCAGCCUGUAGAAGAUUUAGCAAUUAAGCAAGUUCUAGGUUGAGCCUUUUUAGUGAAGUCAACAAUAUAUAGAUCACCUUUUCAUAUACCGGUAAAUACCAUUUUAUGAUUAUCUCUACAAAACAAUUGGCAAUCUACUUUGGUAAAAAGGACAUUGAAGCCAAAGUCAGCUAGUCUAGAAACAGAAAGCAGAUUAUAGCCAAGAGAUUCAACGAGCAUGACAUUUUGUAUGGAGCUAUCAUGUGAGAUGGCCACCUUACCCUUUGAGUUAUCACCAAAAGUGACAUACUGUUGAGGGCCGUCGUUUUCAGCAAGCUCACGAAACAUAUCUUUAUCUCCGGUCAUGUGAUCGGUACAUCCACUAUCAAGGACCCAUUCCUUUCCUCCUGCCAUGUAUCCCUGAAGAUUUGCCAUAAGACCAAAGUGUCUCAUUGCAUCAUCAAGAUCAUAGUCACUAUCAUCAUCCUCAUCAUAGUAUCCAUGUUCAACAUCGUCAUGUGGUGGAUCAAUUCCUAGAGAGGGUGAUUCGUUAGAUAAAUGAUUUUGACAAUGAUAAUCUUUAUGAAUUCUAAUAGCUUUGGAAAUAAUAUUGCUAAUAAUUCCAACAUCUCCUUUGGCACGCAUAAGAUUUGUGAGCUCAAAUAGACAAUCACCAAACUUAGGAUCAUUGGAAUUCAUCUUACUCAAGGCACAAUAGACUUAUGAAGAAUUUCAUCUAAAUUUUGCAAGGAAUAAUUUGGAAAUCUUUCCUCAAGAAAUCUCAUAUGGUGUAGGCACACUUAAGAGUAGUCAAGCAACCAAUCAAGUUUCUAGGCAAACCUCUAGUGAUAAGAUUAACAGUUCUAAGAUUGCGAAUCAUGUCAAUUGACUCGUCAUGAGUAGGAUGCAUAGGAUCAACAUGAGGUGCACAAGGGCUAGUAAUGUAAUUGUUCAAAUGAUAUUCAUUGAAGAUCACAAGCAUCUCAUUUUUCCACUCAUGAAAGUACUCUCCAUCAAGUAUAGGCACUCUAUGUCUAAGACUCCCCAAAGUAGACUCAUUCAUCUUCCUCCAAUGGUGUUUAAACCAAAGCAAUGAAGACCAAAGCUCUGAUACCAAUUGAAAGGAUCGAGAAGAGGUGUCUAGAGGGGGGUGAAUAGACCCUUCACACACAAAGUUGGCAGUUUUUAAGUUUAUCAAGUUUAGGUAGAGUUUAAGCACAAGUUUAACCAUUCACAAUACAUACCAAGCAAGCAUGCAAAGAGUAUAUGGGCAGCGGAAAGUAAAGCAUGCAACUUGCAAGAAAGUAAAGGGAUGGGAUUGGAGUGUGCAAACGCAAUUGGAGACACAGAUGUUUUUGGCGUGGUUCCGGUAGGUGGUGUUAUCGUACAUCCACAUUGAUGGAGACUUCAACCCACGAAGGGUAACGGCUGCGUGAGUCCACGGAGGGCUCCACCCACGAAGGGUCCACGAAGAAGCAACCUUGUCUAUCCCACCAUGGCCAUCGCCCACGAAGGACUUGCCUCACUAGGGUAGAUCUUCACGAAGUAGGCGAGCUCCUUGCCCUUAAAAACUCCUUGGUUCAACUCCACAAUCUUAUCGGAGGCUGCCAAGUGACACCUAACCAAUCUAGGAGACACCACUCUCCAAAAGGUAAUAGAUGGUGUGUUGAUGAUGAACUCCUUGAUCUUGUGCUUCAAAUGAUAGUCUCCCCAACACUCAACUCACUCUCAUAGGGUUGGAUUUGGUGGAAAUCUGAUUUGAGUGGAAAGCAACUUGGGGAAGGCUAGAGAUCAAGAUUCAUAUGGUUUGAUUGGAAUAUCUUGGUCUCAACACAUGAGUAGGUGGUUCUCUCUUAGAAAAUGAGUAGUGGAAGUGUAGGUACGUUCUGAUGGCUUUCCUUACGAAUGAGGAGAGGGUGGAGGGGUAUAUAUAGCCUCCACACAAAAUCUAACCGUUACACACAAUAUACCAAACUCGGUGGGACCGAAUCAGAAAACUCGGUCGGACCGAUUCAGUACAUAAUGUGAACGUUAGGCAAUUUCGAUGGGACCGAUAUGAUCAACUCGGUGGGACCGACGUGCAAGGGUUAGGGUAAAACCUCAUCUCGAUUUGACCGAUUACACAACUCAGUGGGACCGAUUUGGUAAUAAGUAAAACAGAGAGUUGGUCAGGCAAACUCGGUGUGACCGAAUACAUCUUCUCGGUGGGACCGAAAAUAUUGCAAUAGACAAUAGAGAGUUUGCAAGCCCAUCUCGGUGAGACCGAGAUCCCAUCGGUGAGAACGAAGUGAUUAGGGUUUCUGGCAGUGGCUAUGUCAACUGAACUCGGUGGCGCCGGAUGGAUCAAAUUGGUGGGGCCGAGUUUGACUUUUGGUUUGGGACAUAUGUGGAUAUGAGAAAGUGGAUGAGGGCUUUGGAUCAUAUCACUAAGCAGUUUGAGCAACCAAACCAUUAAACAACACCUCAUCCCCCUUUAAUAGUAUUGGCUAUCCUAUAGACUCAAUGUGAUCUUGGAUCACUAAAAAUAGAGAAUGUAGAGUCCUGAGCUUUGAGUUUGAGCUAAUCCUUUGUCUUUAGCAUCUUGAAGGGGUUCCACAUCUUCUUGUCCAUGCCACUCCACUGUUCGACUUAUCUAAAAUAUACUAGAUAAAAGUAUUAGUCCAACAAGAGAUAUGCUGACAUUAAUUACCAAAAUCACCCAGGGAGCACUUGUGCUUUCAGCGAGGUCUAUGUGAUCUUAGCUCAAGGAGAAUACGGUGAGGACUGUGUGUCUGGGACUGUGUGUCCUCGAGUUUAAAUACUCAUCCGCUCCAACCAGACGUACAACUGUCACAGCAGUUGGAACUGGUCUACCAAAUCAUUAUCUUCACCAAGCCUACUGGUUCUAUUUCCUCAACCCUUCCAUUUCCUCAUUCAUGUGUUGAUGAACCUGAUCAUUACUAUUUGAAGACUUUGACUGAAGACUUUCUUUAUUUCCUCAAUCCAAUUUCUUCAGUCACAUUGUCUUCAGCCUGCUUAUCCUGUGUUUACGCUUUCUGUACUCUGUGUUUGUCUUUCAUUUCAUCAUGAUGACUAUGCUUUUGCUCCGUUAUGCUUAUACCUGAGUACUUAUUCCGCUGCUUGUAGUUCGUGACUUAGGAAUUUCCUCACCCAGAAAUUCCUCAGUGACAAAUUUGUAAAAAUCGUCUAUUCACCCCCCCCCCUCUAGUCGACUUAACGCACUUUCAGUUUGUAUGCUCAACCCCUUAGUGCAAAAUAACGUCAAGUUAUAUUGCCCAUUGUGAUAGCAACCUUUAUUAUGCAGUCUGUCGCUUUUAUUCUUCAUCAUCACAAGUUUGUACAACCCUCGAUUUUCUCUUACACUAAAUGAUCUAACACUUUUAGAAGCAAUUUUUAUUGCCUUAUUGAACCGAUGACAACUUACUUGAAGGAUCUUGAUCAAUGCAUAGGUAGGUAUGCUGGACUCUCAACACAAGAUUUGGGUUUAAGGGUUUUUGGAUGCGCUAGCAAAGAUAGGGGGCAAGCACCACAUGUCGAAGGAUCUAUGAUAAUAUAACUUCUAUGUGAAUAUGAACAAACAUAAACCAUUAUGUUGUAUUCCUUGUCCAAUGUCAACAAUUUUGACAUAUAAUAUUUUGAUGGGGGCUCACAAUCACAAAAGAUUUCCAAGAUAGUGUAUUUGCAUGUGAAAGUUCUCUUCCUUCUACUAAUCAUUCAUGAAUUGCUUGUAUGACCAAUAUUGUGAUUGUCAAGCUUCAAAAGAUUUCACUUUAUAAACCCAAUGUGAAGCUACCACUAGGCAUGAUAUGAUUUCAACUUCAUGACAUUCAAUUUAUUCAACAUUUUACUCAUAGGAUAUAAGUGAAUCACAAGAGUAAAUGCCAAGCUACUCCAAAAAGAUAUAAAUGAAGAUCAUGAGCAUAAUAUUUAUUUCUCUCAAAUUAAUUUAAGUGAAGCAAGAGAGAAUUUCUUCAAAAAUACUAAAGCACAAUGUGCUCAAAAAGAUAUAAGUGAAGCGCUAGAGCAAUUCCAUAGAGAAGAGCUUCGUUGACGGGAUGUGAAUGCCACUUACCUAGCCUCCUUGGCAACUAUUUGAGGACUCUAUUUUAUUUAAAAACUUUCAGGUCUAAGUAUUUUAUUAAAACAACAAGCAAAAUGAAAAUAAAAUGACAUUCUAAGAAUAGCAUAACUCAUGUGAAGAAGCAAAAACUUAGGCUCAACCGAUACUAACCGAUAAUUGUUGAAGAAGAAAGGUGGGAUGCCUACCGGGGCAUCCCCAAGCUUAGAUGCUUGAGACUUCUUGGAAUAUUAUCUUGGGAUGCCUUGGUCAUCCCCAAGCUUGAGAUUUUGUGUCUUCUUAAUUCCUCUUAUACCACGGUUUCCCUAAAUCUCAAAAACUUCAUCCACACAAAACUCAACAAGAACUCGUGAGAUAAGUUAGUACAAACCAAUGCAAAAACCUUAUCAUUCUCUACUGUAGCAAAUCACUAAAAAAAUUAUCCAAAAUUGCAUACUAAAUGCCUCUACAUAUUUAAUACUCCUAUCGUCAAAUAGAAUCAUUAAACAAGCAAACAUAUGCAAAUAAUGCAAACAUAACAGCAAUCUGCCAAAACAGUAUAGUCUGUAAAGAAUGCAAUAUUCAUCAUAAUUUCCUAACUCCAAAAAUUCUGAAAAAAAUUACCACACUUUAGAAAAUUUAUCAGAGCUUAUUUUUCAAAAAAAUCAGCAUUUUGUCACAUUCCGACUUUUCUCGGGAAUUUUUGCAACAGCGACAAACUUUCUGUUUUGAAACAGCAACUCAUAUACUUGCAAAAUAAGCAUGGCAAAGGCUAUCAUUGACACUUUUAUUGAAACAAAAGAUGAAAAACAUUAUUAUAAAUAACAGCAAGCAAAUACUAACAAAAUAAAUUGACGCUCCAAGCAAAACAAUAUCAUGCGACAAAUGAAAACAAAGCUCCCAGUGAGGUUACCGAUAAUGUUGGAGAUGAAAGAGGGGAUGCCUUCCGGGGCAUCCCCAAGCUUAGUUGCUUGGAUCUUCUUUGAAUAUUACCUUGGGGUGCCUUGGGAAUCCCCAAUCUUAGGAUCUUGUCACUAAUUAUUCUCCUCAUAUCGACAUCUCAUCCAAAACUUGAAAACUUCAAUCACACAAAACUUAACGGGACUUCGUGAGAUAGGUUACUAUGAUAAAGAGCAAACCAUUUCACUUUGGUACUGCCAAAGACAAGAUUCAUAAUUGUUUCCACACAAUGCCUACUGUAGCAUAUCAUUUACAAAAUUUAUAUUGAGUAAUAUAAGCCAUAGAAACAAGCAAACUAUGCAUUGAAAACAUAAUCUGUCAAAAACAGAACAAUUUGUAGUAAUCUGUACUCAAAAAAUACUUAUGUUACUCCAAAAAUUAUUAAAAAAUCAGGACCAUGUGAGAAUUUUGUAUAUUAAUCUUCUGCAAAAAGAAUCAACUCAAAAUCACUCUUUUGUUAAAAAUGAGAGUUAUUUUCGUGAGCGCAAAAGUUUUUGUUUUUCAGCAAGAUCAAAUCAACUAUCACCCAACAUGAUCCCAAAGGCUUUACUUGGCACUUUAUUAAAAAAAGACAAUAAAACAUGAUUACUACAGUAACAUAAUCAUGUGAACACACAAAAACAGUAGGUAAAAGUGUUGGGUUGUCUCCCAACAAGCGCUUUUCUUUAAUGCCUUUUAGCUAGGCAUGAUGAUUUCAAAGAUGCUCGCAUAAAAGAUAAGAAUUGAAACAUGAAAAAGAGCAUCAUGAAGCAUAUGACUAGCACAUUUAAGUCUAACCCACUUACUAUGCAUAGGGAUUUUGUGAGCAAACAACUUAUGGGAGCAAUAAUCAACUAGCAUAGGAAGGCAAAACAAGUAUAUAACUUCAAAAUUUUGAACACAUAGAGAGGAAAAGUGAUAUUAUUGCAAUUCCUACAAGCAUAUAAUCCUCCCUCAUAAUAAUUUUCAGUAGCGUCAUGAAUUAAUUCAACAAUAUAGCUAUCACAUAAAGCAUUCUUUUCAUGAUACAUAAGCAUAGAAUUUUUAUUACUCUCCACAUAAGCAAAUUUAUUCUCAUGAAUAGUUGUGGGAGCAAACUCAACAAAAUAACUAUCAUGGGGUUGAAAAUUAAAAUCAUCAUGACAAGUUUCAUGAUUAUCAUUACUCUUUAUAGCAUACAUGUCAUCACCAUAAUCAUCAUAGAUAGCAACUUUGUUCUCAUUAUAAUCAAUUGAAACCUCUUCUAAAAUAGUGGAUUCAACAUUAAAUAAAGUCAUGACCUCUCCAAAUACACUUUUAUCAAUAUAAUCAUUAUAAAUAGAAGGCAUGCUAUCAUCAUAAUAAAUUUUCUCAUCAAAACUUGGGGGACUAAAAAUAUCAUCUUCAUCAAACAUACCAUCCCCAAGCUUAUGGCUUUGCAUAUCACUAGCAUCAUGAAUACUUAAGAAUUCAUACUAGCAACAUUGCAAUCAUGCUCAUCAUUCAUGGAUACUAUGCCAAACAUUUUACAACAUUCUUCUUCUAACAAUUGAGCAUAAUUUUCCUUUCCAUCAUUUUCACGAAAGACAUUAUAAAGAUGAAUAAUAUGAUGCAACCUCAAUUCCAUUUUUUGUAGUUUUCUUUUAUAAACCAAACUAGUGAUAAACAAGAAACUAAAAGAUUCGAUUGCAAGAUCUAAAGAUAUACCUUCAUGCACUCACCUCCCCGGCAACGGCGCCAGAAAAGAGCUUGAGUCUACUACGCAAUUUUAUUCUUGUAGACUCAUGUUGGGCCUCCAAGCGCAGAGUUCUGUAGGACAGUAGCAAUUUUCCCUCAAGUGGAUGACCUGAGAUUUAUCAAUCCGUGGGAGGCGUAGGAUGAAGAUAGUCUCUCUCAAGCAACCCUGCAAUCAAAUACAAGAAAUCUCUUGUGUCCCCAACACACCCAAUACGAUGGAAAAUUUUAUAGGUGCACUAGUUCGGCAAAGAGAUGGUGAUAAAAGUGUAGUAUGGAUAGUAGAUAUGAGUUUUUGUAGUGCAAACAAUAAAAAAUAGCAAGGUAGUAAAUAGUAAAACGGAGCACAUACGGUAUUGCAAUGAUGGAAAAUGAGGCCUAGGGUGCAUACUUUCACUAGUGCAAUCUCUCAACAAUGCUAACAUAGUUGGAUCAUAUGAUUAUACCUCAAAGUGCAAUAAAGAAUCACUCCUGAGUUCCUAUUAGCGGAGAACAAAGAUAUACAUUAUUUGUAGGGUACGAAACCACCUCAAAGCUAUUCUUUCCGAUCAAUCUAUCCUAGAGUUUGUACUAAAAUAACACGAAGCUAUUCUUUCGAUUGACCUAAUCAAGAGUUCAUACUAAAAUAACACCAUAUGAUACAUAUCAACCAACUCUAAUGUCACCUAGAUACCCCAAUGUCAUCGCGAGUACCCGUGAGUUAUUUAUACGAUAUGUAUCAAAUAAUUUCAUAUUCAUAAUACUCAAUCCACACAAAGAACUACACGGAGACCCCAAAGUUUCUAUCGGAGAAAAGAUGAUAAAAACGUGCAUCAACCCCUAUGCAUAGAUUACCCCAAAGUCACCUCGGGAAUCCGCAAGUUGAGUGCCAUAACAUAUAUUAAGUGAAUCAAAAUAAUACCCCAUUGUCACAACGGGUAUUCAUAUGCAAGACAUAUAUCAUGUGUUCUCAGAUCUGAACAUUUAGUCCGACAAGACAAAACUCCAAAGAGUAAAGACUCAAUUCAUCACAACAAGAGUAGAGAGGGGAGAAACACCAUAUGAUCCAUCUAUGUUAACAAAGCCCAUGAUACAUCAAGAUCGUGACAUCUCAAGAUCACGAGAGAGAGAGAGAGAGAGAUUAAACACAUAGCUAUUGGUACACACCCUCAGCCUCGAGGGUGGACUACUCCUGUUGGGAUCUACGGUAGGGUGCGUCGACUGCAAAUUUAAACUUCUACUACGCGCAGAACAUCCAGGAACAUGCUACGGGAAUGGAUCACAGAUCGUUACCACUAGACGCGCGGUGUCGUGCAACAGAAGAAGAGUUGGGGCAGCGCGUCCGCGUGGAUCGUCUCCUCCUCAUCCGAUCUCCCUCGAACAACCAGUCGUAGGUUCCCACAUACAGGUACGCCGGAGCGGCGGAAGUGCGUCGCCUCUAUUGGUAUCCGCGCGUGCAGGAGGAACACCAUGCGGUGGACUGCUAGGUCCGAUCACACAGUCAGCGACGAGUGCGACGAGUGGAGGUGGCUAUUCACAACACAUGCAAACCCCAGUGAUAGCAGCGAAGAGAUCAACCAAAUGAGUGUGCCGCACCUCCACUUUAUAUAGGCGUCCAUCGCGGACUCAACACUUGGGCCUCGCACAGACCCUAACGCCCAGAAUCUGUUCGGCCGGGAUAUGAAUCCGAGUAGGAUGAUAUCUGAUUUGUCAAGUCCGAUCCGGCCUCACAGAUUCCUUCCCUUAAGCGCGCGACCCCUUAGGUUCAAGUCGGCUUGGCCGCAGGUCGGAUCACCUCCGACCUGCUCGGCUGGUAGCGACCUCUAGCAAGGCGUGCCGGCCACCAAGCAGACAAUGAAGCCGAUUGGCGAACCUGUACAUGACACUUCCAUUUAUUUUGCCUCACGAUAUAUGUUGUCGGGCUCAAGGCGAGUUUGUCAUCCUUGUGCUAGCCCGACCUCUUUCUUGUUCUAGUGAUCCCGACCAUAAAUCGGAUUAUCUCAUAAUCCUUGUCGCAUGGCCAUGCUUAUCCUGGUCAGAUCACAUGAGGGGCCCAGAGUAUAUCUCUCCUAAUCGGAGGGGCAAAUCCCAUCUUGCUCGACCAUGUCUUGUAGCAUGGGUCUGGACAAGUCUGAAACCUACCUUUGUAACUACCCAGUCAUGGAGUAGCAUUUGGUCGGCCCAAAGCAGGUCUGUCACCAUCCCGGGUACAUGCGCCAGCUCAGGUCUUAGGACAUAGAAUGUAUGUUGUAUUAGAGACUCAUAGAUGACAUAUCGCUGCGUCUCAUAGUUGGGUCUGUCUGAUUCGGACCUUAUCUCGACUCGGAUUCGACUACGUCAAAUCCGACCAAAUCCUUCCGAGUCCAUAUUAUCCGGUUAGCAUCCAAUGCUCCAUGGCUAGUGAGACCAAGCCAUCGACCAUGUCAUAUGCUAGUCUAGUCGGCUGCGCGUCCACAUAGCCCUUUCGACUAGGGACCUUUUAGGACAGUCAUCAUACUAUGCAUAGUCCCACAAACAAGUCACGUACUUGUUGAUAAACAUCAUUGAUAAUGUCCAAGGACUAUCUUUAUUCAUAAACACAUAGGAAAUAUCAUCAUACAUGAUUGCCUCUAGGGCAUAUCUCCAACAACUCCCUCCUCAUCGUGGUGGCCGCUAGGAUGAUGAAGAUGGCCACCGGUGAUGAUUCCUCCCUCCGACAGGGUGCUGGAACGGGGUCCCGAUUGGUUUUCGGUGGCUACAGAGGCUUGCAACGGUGGAACUUCUGAUCUAGGGUCUCCGUGAGGGUUUUUGGAAUAUUUGAGAAUUUAUAGGGCGAAGAAGGGGUACGGGAGGCCAUCGAGGUGGGCACAAUCCACCGGGGCGCGCCUGGGGGCCCAGGCGCGCCCUGGUGGGUUGUGCCCCCUCGAGGCACCCCCAGGUGCUGCUCUGGCCAUUGGUGGUCUUUUGGUCCAUUAAAAUCCACAAAAAAAGUUUUGCGGUGUUUGGAGAACUUUGAUUUCUGCACAAAAAACAACACCAUGGUAGUUCUGCUGAAAACAACGUCAGUCCGGGUUAGUUCCAUGCAAAUCAUACCAAAACCAUAUAAAAUUAUUGUAAAUAUGGCAUGAAUACUUCAUAAAUUAUAGAUACGUUGGAGAUGUAUCAUGCUUCUUAUGAUCUUCAAUAUUUAUUUAAGCCUCAUGAUGAAUAUAUUUACUAUAAUAUUGAAAGUGGGUUUGGAAGAGUGUCAACUCUAGGUAAUAAUGAUCCCACUACUUUGGAGAACGAUCAAUCCUAUGAUUUUUUUAUAAAAGUGGGUCUGGAGAAGUCAUGAAUUUAUUUGGUGAUAAUCCAACUAUUUCGGAAGAGUGUCAACUUCGCAUGCAUGUGGAUCAUGUAGAGAAAAUUUUAUGUGAUAGCUAUAUUGUUGAAUUUGAAUAUGAUCUCACAUGUAAUUAUUAUGAGAGAGGAAAAUAUUGUGUUAGAAAUUUUCAUGUUACUAAAUUACCUCUCUUUAUGUUGAGAUUGUUAUUAUUUCUUUCUUCUUCCUUACAUAUGCUAGUUUUUGCUUGCCUUGACAAUUUGUUUUCUUAUAAAAUGCCUAUGCAUAGGAAGCAUCACGAAGAGAUCAUAUACUUGAAGCAUUUCGACCAUUUCAUGAAGAUGAUGUCUUGUGAAGAUGUUCCUAAGAGUGGCUCUCCCAUAGUGGAGUAUAGGGGAGCAAAUUGUGAGUCUUCACCAAGCAUGUGCUAACAAGAAAGGUGUUCCAACUUGAGGCGGGCGUGAUCGUCAUCAUCUAGCUCAAGUGGAUUAUGCGCAACACAAAGGUUUGUCCUUGCUAGGUUUUCUAUUUUACCGGUCUCAUGGUGUUAGUCGGCAGACCGGGUUAUAGAAUUGAUUCCCGUACUAUCAAGGGGGGCUCAUGAGUGAGUAGCUUGACCGUAUGAUUCGUAGAGAGCUCAAACCAUUACAUCCUUGGCAUCAUCUUUCUUGGUUCUUGUUUGGCUUUUCUCCGUGUGAGCUUUAGAGCUUGUGGUUAUCUUCAUUACAAGCUCAAGUUCAUCGGACACAGAUUUCGUAUGCAUCAUCUAUUAUAUUUUUUAUGUUGAGUUUUUGCCGGUUCUACACUCAUGGAGGUUUCACACCUCUAUAUCAUUGGCAUAUUUCUCUUGCUACUUUUGAAGAUUUCCAAUCAUGAUUUGGCAGCUCUUGUCGUUAGCUUUCUAUCAAGCUUGAGUUCAUCGAAAUCAGAGUUCAUUUGCAUAAGUUAUGGCAGUUUUGGUCUUACUUACAUUCUUCUGUUGUGCUUUGGCCUUUUGGGCAGAGGCCAAGCGGUAGCACCGCUUGUACCCACGGUAGUACCGCUUAGGCGGUACUUUCGCUUCUUGGUACCGCGGCUAGUUCCAUGGGCUGCCACUUGGUAUUGGGCCAAAGUGGGGCAACCUUACAUGGGCCUUAUGGCCCAAUAGUUGGAGGCGGCCCCUUUAGGCUCAGGAGGCUCCCCCUUGGCGGCUAGGGUUAUGGGAGAGAGGGUGCGUACCCCUCAGGACUGUCAACCCUAGAUGGGGGUGCACCCCUUGGGGCAACCCCUCCUCCAAGCUAGCCUCCUCAUCGGGCUAUUAUAAAUGGAGGGGCGGGGCAUGCUCAAAGGAGACAUAAAUUUUCUGGUGCCUUUGAUUGUGCCUCUCUCUCUCUUUCUCUCUCUCUCUCUCUCCACAAUAGUGGGUCUCCAUCCGAAGGCUGCACCUCCCGCUUCUUCUAUGUCGACAUUUCCUAGCUCUGGACGGUAAAGCGAUGCCUGAUCACUGGUGUCAUACGCGUGCAAUACACAGAGGGAUCAUGCGUUCGAUUCUUGUUCGAGGGACGGUUCAACAGAUUUCAAGAACGAUCCUCGUGAACUCCUCUCUCGCUGCAACUUGAAGUUGGUAACGAUCAGAUCUAACCUUGUAUGCAUCUUCAUAGUGAUCCUGGGAACUUAAUUUGUAAGGCAAUUUUUGGUUUUGUUUUCUAUCUUCUCAACAACAACUUCACAUUGAAGUCGUCGGGCGGGAGGAAGAGGGGAGGGGGAGGUGAUCUAACGAACUCAGCUAUAUCGGUUGGGUGAGUGUGUAGUAUGUUUGCUCCGAUCUCAAGCCAUCUCAAUGUAUUUUUCUUCAUAAAUGAAUUUGCCGCCUCCUUGACCAUUAGAACUGAUAGUCUAAAGUCAAUGUUGUUCAACCAAAUUAAUUUACUCGGAUCAUAACCCAUGUCUUGAGCUCACACCACGAUCCUCAAGUGAUCCGUCUUUUCUUUUGUCAUCAACGACCGUUCUUCCAUGACACAAUUCCUCGACCAACAAACUUUAACUCAUACAAAGCAAUGUUUUCUUUUGUUGCAACACACAAACAUUUAUGCUAGUAUAAACAAAGAAGAGAUGCGUCCUUGCUCAAUCUGGCCCGUUUAGGUGAUACCGUGAUACAGGCUCUUGACAACCGUUGGAUCUCAGAUCAAACGGCUCCCGGGAGCUCUUGGACAUUUUACAAAAAAAUCAUUCAAGAGUCUUGAAAUUGUGUGCAGGUAUAACAACUCCUCAGGUGCCGUCGGAUCUGAGAUCCAACGGUCCAGACGUGUGUAUCAUGGUAGCAUACGAAGGCCGGUAUCACCUGAAACUUUCCCAUCCAGCCGUCCAGUUCCGAUCAGACGGUAGACAUGCGGCCGCAGCAGCAGCCCGCGGGCGGAGAGUUCCUCCCACAGGGCAGAGCCAGAGGAGGGGAGGCCUUCCUUCCCCCAUCUUCUCCUUUACCUUAUCGGCGUUAUCGCCAUCACCCGUCAUAACUCGCGGCCGCACGCGUCGUACCAAAGGAGGGAGGAAAAAGGGAUCUCCACUCCACUCCGCCUCCUCCUCCGCCCCGCGCGGUUCCAAUCUGGUUCCCGGCCGAGCAAUCGAGGAUGGGGAAGAACCAGGCGUACAAGGCGAUGCAGCGGGCGCGGCUGGGCUCGUCCUCCGGUGCCCCCGGCGAAGGGGAGGAAGACGGCAUGGUCGGUCCCCUUCCUCACCCCCCUUACCACAGAUCCUUAAUCCCCCCUAGUUCCAAGCUCGCAACCCAUCUCUGAUUGCUCCCCCCCGUGCAAACCCUAUCGAGAUCUGCCGGAACGGCCAUGGCGAAUCUUGCUGUUUGUAGAUGCUUUUUCCCCUUUUGACGAGGGAACUUUUACUAACGAGGGCCGUCACAGACGGACGGUUCAUUUCAUUCUCCAGAGUGGCACGCGGCGCGCUUGGCCAGCCUCAACAAGACCCACACCCUCACGUGGGAGGAGUUCAAGAAGAAGCAGAAGGUAUGCGCGGCCUGGACUUGCUCUCUGCUGGCUUUGUUGGUGGAUUUAGUUUCUGCACUCUAUAAUUUUGGCCAUGAUUUUAUUCAUGCUGCUGCUUAAGCUCUGCGAUGUGCUAUUUGUGCUCCUAUUUUAUGUUAAAUGUAUGAUGUAUGCUGAAUUUCAGGCAUACUGCCUUGUAUGUGAUGCCCAAGUUUGUUUUAGCCUGGUGUGGAACGGCGAUUCACUUUAUAGUGCAUAUAGUAACGAAUUAAGCUACGUUGUAGCAUUUGAGGGGAAUUAGCAGCCUGAACUUUGGCAGUGGAAGCUUGGUCCUGUGCCACCCAGGGUCCAGUUGUCCUUCCCCUGGUUUGCUGACCUUUGAGUUUCUCUAGCACCGGUUUGCCAUCAGACAUUUAGACUUGUGCUACUGUAAAAGGUAGUACAACCAUUUAGUGGCACCGCUUAUUGCAGACAUCCAUCAUACUUUACCUAGCUUCAGAAGUCUAAUGAUGCCAUUUGCUUGGCUUCGAUUCCUUUACUUGUCUUGUUAUCUUUGAUAAAUAGCAUCUUAGGCGGAGUAUGUAUAUGCUGAUUCCAAACAGAUCAACCUACGGUCAGCAUUAGUUGGGUUGGCGUUUACUUGGCAAAUGUUUAUUGUUUUCUGCAUUGAUUCCACACGGUUAUUGGCUUACUGCAGACCAGCCUAAGCCUUUUUGUACUUAUAUAAGGUCACUGUGUAGCCAUAGUUAUCUAUUAUCAGUACCUCCAUAGUCAUAAAUGAUGCUCUUGUCCCCUAUAGGACGAGGAACUAAAGAGAGGUGAGGUGGAGGCUGACAAAGAUAAAAUGAUGAGAGAGUAUAGAGCUCAACUGGAUGCUGAAAGGGCCCAAAAGCUUGGCCGUGGAAGAGACGUUGUAAAGUCAAAAUCAUCAUCUUCCAAGAAAGGUAAAUCAACUUAAUAACAUGCUGAACGAUGUUUCUUACAUUUAGGUCCCAUUAGGUGAAACUCUUUCUUAAAUCUGUUCCAUGUGUUGAGUUUUCUGACAAAGGAUUAUGGAUACAGAAAAGAAGGAAAAGGACGCAAAGAAACGGAUUAAAAAGAGGAGGAAGGUAUUACUCUCAAAUACAAAUGUAAUAAUUGGCCACAUUAUGAUGAAUGGAGAACACCAAAAAGUAUCCGCUAUAUAGAUGAUUCUAGAUAUAAGCAUUUUUUUACCUUCUGCUGUUGGGAUGAAUUUGGGAAACAAAAAUGGUCCUACUUGCUCACUUCUGCAUUCUUACAGCACAGAAGUUCGUCAGAAAGUUCCAGCUCAUCAGAAUCAUCAAGUAGUGAUGAUGAGGACAGGGGUUCAAGAAAAUCCCGAUCCCGAUCAAGAUCAAAGCGAAGUAAGAAAGAUAAGAAGCACAGGUCCCGAUCCAAGCAUGCCGGAAGUGACAGCGAGGAGGAAGGCCCUGUUCGCCUCUCGAAAUUCUUUGGGAAUGCAAAGAAUUAGACGCUAUAUCGAUACGCCCAAUACCAAUUUGCUUGCUCCUGAGGUCAUAUCAUUUUGAAUUGUCAAUUGGUGGGUGUUGAUUGUAUUCUAUCGAGACAACUGUCAGAAGGUUGUGGGAACCAGUUUCCAUGUUUCUCAACAGAAUGUUUGGUAAUUGGAGGUUUAGGUGUUGAACCAUUAUAUGGUAUCCUGCAACUUGUAAGAAAUAUCAAAUCAUUGUUACAUUGUUGUACUUGAUGGAUAGUGACAGUACUCAUAUUCGAUUUGAACUGCUUUAAUUCUUUUCAGAACUUGAUAUUUAAUUAUUAUCUUCC